CCUUUUUUUCUUCUGAGUCUAGUCUUUCCCUUCCUUGCUCUUAUUUUCAUCACCGUGCUUUCUCAUCUGUAGUAUCUGCACAACUUGGUACGAUCGUAUCAACGUACGUACGUACACGCGCUACACAAGAAGAAAAGCCACCAUACGAAUUGCUCACGACGGGGCACCCGCGAGAGACGGGUCCUGCCGUCCGGGAAAACCCCCCUGGCUAGAGAGCCCCCGGCCGAGCUCAACGACCUCCUGCUGCGCGGUCGCGUGGACUCGCGGCCGCGGGUCGGGAGUCGGCACGGCGGAUUUCCGAGUCCCCCGUUCCAUUUCCACACGUUGGACGACGAGGACGACGACGCGGGCGGUCAAAAGCCACCGCGCGAGGCACGGCCGGCCACGCAUGCAGGGUUGCAGACCGCAUCAUCAGCCCCGAGCCCAACCGCCAACACCACUCUCCCCCGUCCCCGUCCCCGUCCAAUCCAGCGCCCGCGCCAGGAAAACAACGCGUCGGCGGCUAGCGCCCAAUUGCCAACCCCGGCAAUCAAAAUCCCCCUCCCGCCCGCCACGCGCGGAGACCCUGACACUGACGAUGGCCCAACUGUCGCAGCAGGGCGCCCCAGCCCCCACCCACCAGCCGAACCGCACGCCACGCCCACGCCGGUGGUUAUCCGAUCGCGGGUUGGUGCGCGUCCUCGUUUGACCGGUUGAACGCCCUGCCCGCCGUCGGAUCCGAGCAACAUCGACGCCGUCCGUAGCAGAGCACAGUGGCCGCGCCGUGCGUCACGUCACGCACAAGUCCCGCUCACUUUCUCGUUACCUUCCUCAGCUGGAGUCCGGCCCGGUCGAGGGCACAAGCACCAGGCAGCAGCAGCGAUCGAGGCCUCCUCCUGCUUCUGCUUCAGCUUGAGCUUCAGCCGCCCCCCGCCUUUUAUAAAUCCCACGCCUGCGCAUCCUCUUUUGACAAAGAUAAGGUCAAAUUGCCUGAUUUGCUUGCUGCUUGAACUCGAGACUUGGUGAGGAGUGAGCAGUCGGUCUUCCUCUUCUCCGUCGAGGGGGGGAAUAAUUAAGCCAGCUGCCUGCCAGGGCCUCUUCCCCGCGGGGAAGAAGACAGGGGAUGAGCGGAGGAGGCAUGGACGGAGCUCCGGUCGCCGAGUUCCGGCCGACGGUGACGCACAACGGCCGGUUCCUGCAGUACAACAUCUUCGGCAACCUGUUCGAGAUCACGCACAAGUACCAGCCUCCCAUCAUGCCCAUCGGCCGUGGCGCCUACGGGAUCGUCUGGUACGUACGUUCUGCUCGAGCUUGAGCCAUGGCUGAUUGCUUGCGAGCUGCAGAAGAUGAUUACCGAGUGUUAGGAUUACAAUUACUAGUAGUAGUUUAAUUAAUGGAUGAGGAUGGUCAUGGAUUGAUUGGACUUGGACCAACCACCAAUAGAUUCUUAUCUAUAGAUAAGAGUAUAGCAGUUGAGCUAGCGGUUUGGUUAAUUUAGCGACUAUCUACUAGUGCAGUGGUUGGUGAGUUCUCGAAUCGAAUGAACACCCUACCUCACCUUUUAGGAAAGUAUUUUUUUAGGAAAUUAUUACGGGUGGGUUGAUUAUAAUUCUGAGAAUAAAUAAGAAAAAUCUGUACGGUUCGAGCGCAGCUCGGUGAUGAACUUUGAGACAAGGGAGAUGGUGGCCAUCAAGAAGAUCGCCAACGCCUUCGACAACCACAUGGACGCCAAGCGCACGCUCCGGGAGAUCAAGCUGCUGAGGCACCUCGACCACGAGAACGUAAGCAAGAAACAUGUAGCCCUUGCUGAAUAGUUGAAUCUGGCGCCGUUUAAUUGCUAGCUGCUCCCAUUCGGGUUUUGGGGAUGACUGACUGACUGACUGACACAUGAAUGAACAAACAGAUCAUAGGCAUCAGGGACGUGAUCCCGCCGCCGAUCCCGCAGGCGUUCAACGACGUGUACAUCGGCACGGAGCUCAUGGACACGGACCUCCACCACAUCAUCCGCUCCAACCAGGAGCUCUCGGAGGAGCACUGCCAGGUAAUAAUACUAAGUGACUAUUAUUAGCAGAAGAAAAGAAACAACACGGCGUCGCCAUCAGCUUAAUUUGCCGCCGCCUGUGAUCCGAGUAAUCCGACGACUGGCUGGCUAAUUAUAAUCUCGGUCGCCGGGCGCAGUACUUCCUGUACCAGAUCCUUCGCGGGCUCAAGUACAUCCACUCCGCCAACGUGAUCCACCGGGACCUCAAGCCCAGCAACCUGCUGCUGAACGCCAACUGCGACCUCAAGAUCUGCGACUUCGGGCUGGCGCGCCCCUCCUCCGAGAGCGACAUGAUGACGGAGUACGUGGUGACACGGUGGUACCGCGCCCCGGAGCUGCUGCUCAACUCCACCGACUACUCCGCCGCCAUCGACGUCUGGUCCGUCGGCUGCAUCUUCAUGGAGCUCACCAACCGCCAGCCGCUCUUCCCCGGACGCGACCACAUGCACCAGAUGCGCCUCAUCACCGAGGUACCAAUAUAAUACCAUCCGAUCGCCGACGCACCGCCACUCUUUCUGGUUGCGCUUGCGCCUGCACGACACGAUCGACGGCAUUUCUGACGCGUCUGGUCAUCGCCACUGCUGCUGGCCGGCAGGUGAUCGGGACGCCGACGGACGAUGAGCUCGGCUUCAUCCGGAACGAGGACGCGCGCAAGUACAUGCGCCACCUCCCGCAGUUCCCGCGGCGGCCGUUCGCGAGCCUGUUCCCGAAGGUGCAGCCCGUCGCGCUGGACCUCAUCGAGCGGAUGCUCACCUUCAACCCGCUGCAGAGGAUCACAGGUCAGUCCAGUCGUUCGGCGCCUCGCCGGGGGCGGGCCUACUACAGCUAGCACCUUUGUUUUUUACUGUUAUUUCUUUUCUCCAUGUGCAACCGGUGCGUGCGGCUGCUGAAUCCUCAACCUCCGCACGUGCGCUUUCCUAUUCUCGUGCCGUGUUGACACUUGACUAUUAGUAGGAUUUUUUUUUUGUUUGAGGAGCAAGCAGCCAUGCGUUUGGUAGUCAGUAGGUCUAGGACUAGCACGUGGGGGCACUCGCGAUGAGGCUUUCUUUAUCUUUUCGUUUUUAUUUGACAAACAUUGUCCAAUCAUAGAGUAACUAGACUUAAAAGAUUCAUCUCGUGAUUUACAGUUAAACUGUGUAAUUAGUUUUUAUUUUCGUCUAUAUUUAAUACUCUAUGCAUGUAGCGUAAGAUUCAAUGUGAGACGAAAUUUUGAAAAGAUUUUGGUUUUUGGAGUGAACUAAAAAGGCCACAGUGUAGGAGUAGUGUACAUUUCCAGAGAGGAGUUGAGUAGCCCUGGCAGUAUGGCGGCACUUCAAUGCGUCGGUUUGUUCGCCCAAAUUUGGAUGUUGGUCUGGUCUGGUCAGAAGUAUAUGCAAUCUUCUUUGUGCCUUGUUUAGUUCCGAAAAGAUUUCGGAUUUCGGUACUGUAGCAUUUUUGUUUGUUUGUGACAAAUAUUAUCCAAUCAUGAACUAACUAGGAUCAAAAGAUUCGUUUCGUGAUUUACAGUUAAACUGUGUAAUUAGUUUUUGUUUUUAUCUAUAUUUAACGCUUCAUGCAUGUACCGCAAGAUUCGAUGUGACGGAGAAUCUUGAAAACUUUUUGGUUUUUGGGUGAACUAAACAAGGCCUUGGUCUUGUUUAGUUUCGAAAACUGAAAAGUUUUCGGAACUGUAGCACUUUCGUUUUUAUUUGAUAAACACUAUCCAAUCGUAGAAUCGUAGAGUAACUAGGCUUAAAAGAUUCAUCUCGUGAUUUACAGGUAAACUGUGCAAUUAGUUUUUAUUUUCGUCUAUAUUUAAUAGACCAUGCAUGUGGUGUAAGAUUCGAUGUGACGGGAAUCUUGAUAAGAUUUUGUUUUUUGGGGUGAAAUUAACAAGGCCUUUGUCUCGAGUAGAAACUUUUACUUAUGAUCCGCAGCAACAAAAUGGGGUGAUUUGGUAGUUCUCUUCGUUGAAUUCAGAGUUGAGGCCAUAACAGAAAACCGGGCAUCAUUUCUGUCAUUCUAUGACUAAAUAUAGUAAUGAUAUAUAGUACUUAUAUAGCUUUAAUUUCCAUCGAAUGCGCUAGCAUAGCGUGAAGCUUUUGUUGGUCAGCUUGUUGCCUACCGUCCAAGUGUACAACCGACGCAACACUACCACCCUGCGCUUGCAAAUAUACAGCUAAGAUGCUGAGUUGAUAGAAAAAUUACCUCAGGGACAAACGAGAGUCGUACAAAAAUCCUGCUCCGGCUUCCCACGAGACAAAACCUAAAGUGAAAGGAGCUGUUUGGUUGUAGAAAUGGAAACGCAAACGCAAACGUAAAGAGAAAUGAACUCCAAAUGUUACCAGGGGUAACAGAUUUGAACUAUCUAGCCUUUAUGAUUGUGUUACUGUAUAGGAACUAAACAAGUCGUAACUUCGUACAUUUUAUUAAAAGAAAAAAAAAUACACUCUCUGUAACUACUUGUUUCUCCUUCUGCCUUUCCCAAUUUUUAUUGUGCACCCAGGGUCAUCAAAGUUGUACUCGCUGUGGAGCUUUCUCCAUAUGCAUCCAAAGCCUUUGCUACCUUUUGCAUUAUUUUGGGGGCUGUUGCUUUGACCCAUCAUCCUCGGCUUUGUAGCCUCCUCCAUAUCGCUUUUGCCGAAGUGACGAUGACGGCUAUGUACCAACGUACAAAAUAAACAUGUUUUAUAUAAGAUGAAAAAAAGAGAGACAAAGGUUGAAGAUAAUCUUAAAAUUAGAUUCCUCUAUUGGCAGGCAGCUGUCCACUAGCGGAGUUACUUCAGAGACUCCCUAUUCGUUUCAGAUUAGCAGAGUUUCUUUUUCUCUGUUGGUUUUAGACUAGCAUAUAUAUAGGGCCUGUUUGGUACAGCUUACAACAGCUUUAUAAGCUGUUGUGAGCUGUUUUUUUUGCCAAACACUUAUUUCCAAAACAGCUUCAUGGGUGGAGCUGUUUUUCCCCUCCUCUCACAAAGACAUAAUUGGAUGAAGCUGGAAAAAAGUAGCUUAUUGCAGCUUCUCCCUCAUUUCUCUCUCUCAACUAUGCAUGAAGUAGUUGGUGAAGCUAUUUUGCCAAACACUUUCUUCAAAACAGCUCAACUUAGUAUAGCUAUACGAUGACUGUAAGAGCUCACGAAUGACUGAUUUCAUUCUCUCAGUUUUCUCACCGGAAUCUGUUUUGUCAUGCAGUUGAAGAGGCGCUGGAGCACCCGUACCUGGAGCGGCUACACGACAUCGCCGACGAGCCCAUCUGCACGGAGCCAUUCUCGUUCGACUUCGAGCAGCAGGCUCUGACAGAAGACCAAAUGAAGCAGCUCAUAUUCAACGAGGCCAUCGAAAUGAACCCGAAUUUCCGAUAUUAGAAUGUAUAUCUAGAUGUAUGCUUCCUCUUUUAUGCACAAUGUCUGUAAAUAGGCGUAAGUAUAAAGAUUGGAGAGCCGGGGUAGACAGAACAUUGCAUUUGUUUGUUUGCUGAUGUUCGAGCCCACCAUCCUGUCUGUAAGGCUGUGUAAUCUGUUGCUGCAGGUUUCAGGCGGCGUUCCUGUAAUGGGUUGUACCAAGAAUAAAAGGUUUGGACUCUGGGUCAUGUUUCUGGAAUCACAAAUUUGUAUGCCGAGUUAGCUAGCGCAUCUUCUUACCGAAUCCAUUCACGCCUUGUUUAGUUUCCAAAGUUUUUUUUAGAUUCUCCUUCAUAUCGAAUCUUGCGGCACAUGCAUGAAGCAUUAAAUAUAAAAAAAAGCUAACUAAUUGCACAAUUUACCUGUAAUUUACGAGAUGAAUCUUUUAAGUCUAGUUAGUUUAUAAUUAAAUAAUAAUUGUCAAAUAAAGCCGACAAUACUACAGUAGCGAAAUUCAAAAUUUUUCGCGAACUAAACAAGGCCUCAGUUCAGAUUCAAAACACAGAGAACGAUGGUUUUGUUUGUAGCUAACUUUUGCAAAGCAGUAAUUUAAUAUGGCCGGAUUACUCGUCCGUUUUAAACUGUAACUCAUUUAAGAAUUAUUCUAAGUUAAAUGUGACUAUCUUUAGCCAAAUUUAUAUAAAUUAUAUUAAUGUCUACAAUAAUACAAUAUCAAUUAAAUGCAAAAGAGCAUAGCUCAGCUGGUUGCCCACUAGGAUUCAAGGCUUCGCAAUUUCCUAUAUUUAUUCAAGAAUUUAAUGACACUAUUCUCGUUCAUAAAGGUCAGUGUGAGCGUCUGUAACUGAAUACUAGAACUAUACAUGGUGUAUCUAAUCUAAUGAGUUUAGUUUGCUAUUUUAGAAUUCUGAUUUUUUUAAAAAAAACUUCAUCAAAACUAAAAAGUUUGAUUUAAAACAAAACUAAAGACAUUUGCAAUUUAAAACAAAGAUAAUGCGUUGGAACUAAGAGCCUGUGAUAGCAGACCACUAUUGUUGUUGUUGGGCCACUAUUCGCUCCAUGCGGGCUCCUUUGGUUCAAGGGUGAAACAAAGGAAUUUUGUAGGAUAGGAUUCUCAAAGGUCCUUUCCUACUCUUUGGUUCAUAGGAAAAGUACAGGAAGCAUUCCAUAGGAUUGGCCUUGUAUAGUUCAAUUCCAUAGGAAAAAAACAUGAGAGCCCCUUUGGAUUGCAGUAUAGGUAUAGAAUAGGAAAAGGACAAACAAAGGAAUAGAGAUGGCAUACUCCUCUGAUCCUAUGGGAUUUGAAACAAAGGAAAAUGCCUUUGGCAAGAGCUUAGGUGAAACACAGGAAUUGUGUACAUCAAUUGGAAUUUGAACAGCUAGCCUUUGGCAGUUACGUUUGCUUAAUCAUCCGAACACUCCAGCCUGUGGGACCACGUCUUCAGUCAUUCUUAUUCACAUGACUGCGGAUCUUCUUUCUGUGGCCAGCACUGGGGCAGGCCGACUCGAUACCUGGCGAGAUGGGGAGGGCGUCGUGCUGUCCCGUGCAGCGGUGAUGCCGUGGCCGUCGCUUGAGCCAACGAUGGGCUGACCGUUUAGCGCUGGUGCGAUGCGAAGAUGAAUAAGCACGAGCGAGGCGUGGCCGUCAUGCGAGCCAGCGAUGGGGCAGCGGCUGUUUGUCGUUUGCGUGAACGCGAAGAUGAACGAGGACUAGCGAGUCGCGCGCAAGUCUGAUUUCGCGCCAGGAAAAGUUCCAAGAGGUCCGACUUCAUGUUUAUUUUCCUAUGGAAUCAGGUCAUAGGAAUGCAAUCCUCAGGAAUGAUUCCUUUACUUUUCUGUGAACCAAAGGCUUGGAUAGGAAAAAAUCCUUAGGAAAGUCAAUCCUCCAAAAUUCCUAUGCCAAUCCUACAAUCCAAAGGGGGCCGAAGUAUGACUUCAUGAAAAAAUUCCUAUGGUCCAACCAAAGGUCUUCUGUAUUACUUAGGAUUAAAGAUGUAUGACAUGUAUAUUCCUACUUCCCUAUUCCUAUAGGAUUCCUAUCCUAUGAUCCAAAGGGGGCGGAUUAAAGAUGUAUGACAUGUAUAUUCCUACUUCCCUAUUCCUAUAGGAUUCAUAUCCUAUGAUCCAAAGGGGGCCGUAGUGGAUGGUUCCAGUGGCAUUACAAAUGGUUCCAAUGAUAAUAAGAAUGUUAAAAUGAUUAUUUGAACCAAGAUAAAAAGGUGAUGGGGGUGAUUAUUAGGACCUGUUUAGCGUAGUUCCUGCACCGGCUUCUCUAGGGACGGAGCCACACCAAACACAGCAGCAUACAGGAAUAUUGAUUAUUAAUCCACACCGAUGUCAUUAGCAUCUUGGAGCAACUGCAGUCCGUUAACACUGCGAAGACGUGUUUAUGUGAGUUGUCUCUGAGAGAAUAAAUCCCGGGAGGUACGGUAAUUUGUUAGCGAGUACUACGUAGGAAAUUUCAGAAAUUGAAAACAAGAAUCACUGCAAGCUUCUGGCCGUGCCGACCCUAUACAAGCAGAAAUCUAGUGCGCCACAAAUGCGUCGCCGAUUCGUUGAGACACGGAACAGAUACAGCUUGCAAAACGCACCAGAUAAUGCGUAGCUUGAAAUCAGUAAUUUGCAUCACUAACAUCCACCGACACGGCCAACAGAACUCGAUCAUAGACGUAGCAAAGCAAAGCGUAUUAGCUCCGACUAAAAUUGCUCGACCAGUCACACCACGAGAAAGAAUCAGAUCAUGCAGAUGCAGCGCAAGCACAGCCUUUUUAAACCACAAGCUGUGAACCGAACUAAGGGAAACCAGAUAAGCAAAGUAACAAGAACAUACUGCAGCCAUAAGAUCAUAGAUCUACUAGUUUCAGUUGCAUACAGCAUCAGAGUAUAGGCAAAGGGUCCCCCCCGUUCAACCAUAGCCAAAGUUCCAAGAACAGCCUGAGGGCUCAACAGCGACAAAUUUAUUACAUAGAAGACACGAGACAAUCUGCUGGUUCACUCUAACUCCAGAUGCACAUGAUUCCAUACAGGCAGCAGUUUGGAUCACUCCAGGAUAGGGGCCAUUUAAGCAUCAGCGAACCUGCAUUCCAGGAGAGUAAACAAUCAGAUUUGUCCCACUGACCAAGCACAAAUUGUGCAAUCACUGGUUACUCACCCCAGUUCGGAGAGCUUGAGGUGGGCUUCUUUGUAGUCUUCAAAGAAUGCCUUCUCAUCCUACAAGGCACACAAUAAUCAGUACUUAUCUCCCUGCAGAUCACCUUACCCUAGAAAACAAUGACGGACAUACCGCAGCAUAUUUAUCCACAAGAGGGCGGAAGGCAGGGUCGCUCAGCAGGGCUUUGUCACUUGGGAGCUGAAGAAGGCCCUCCUUGUCACCACUCAGAAGUUCCCUACAGAAUAAGUUCAGGAUAUAUGGGAUAGCUAUUAAUUUCUAGUAUAGUAUAGUAUUUACAGCUGCCCAGGAAAGACAUAACAAAGGCAAAUAAAUUCUUAGUAUUUCUUAACUAAAUGCAGUUGCUUUUCAUAGUAAACAUGACACAGACUCACUUGAAGUAAGAGUUGUCGAAGACCAAAGGGUUUGAAGUCCAGGCCCCCUCAAAACCAGACCGCUCUUUGUGGCACCUUCCCUAAGAAAACCUCAAAUAAAAGUAAAUCAGUUCAAGCAUACAUAUAUUACAUACAUUUCUGAAGGAAACAUGAGUGGGCAGUAACAAACCAAGGUGUGGCCACCAGAAAGGGCAACAAUGUCCUGGUCGCUCAGACCCAUCUGCUUGCCAAAGACUUGCCUCAGGUGGUCAGAACCUGGUUAAUAAAAAACAGCAAGCAAGGAAUAAGAGUCGGUCAUCAUGUCAAUAAAAGUGACGUCAACGCCUUGAAGGAUACAUGGUGAAUAUAACCAAUCAAUUCAGCAUUCAUGACAAUCGUAGUGAAGAUUAGAGAUCUACCCUUAGUGGCAUCAGGAAGACGGCCCUCGGGUGGGGGCUGAGGCUUGUCCUGAAAAAGACAAGGGAAGAUGUAAAUACUCAAGUUUUUACAGUGACAAAUACUGACGGCGAAAAAGGCAUGGAACAAAUAAUAUCAGUCAGUCAUGCCUAUCGCUAUAGUUUUAAGAAAGCAAGACAUAAGUGAUAGAAUUGAACAACUUUAACACCAAAUGUUAAAUAAUUGUCACCCAACAAAUUGUAAUGACAAUCAAGGGAAAAUAGUAUCAGCAUUGGACAACAUGCAGAAAGUUUAUGGUCUAUACAUGUAUAAUUUGACAGCAUAUCAACAGGGACCGUAUAGGUGCAUAAUAUGCAUAGUGCACAUCACCAUCAGGGUAAGGCAACCAACACUAUCUAGACGGCAUGAAAUGCCUAGACGCACACUUACAACAAACAUACUGUGCAUCCAAGGACCCAACAAGUGGACCUCCACAAUAAAGAGAUAACGACAUAUGAUAUGGUAUUGUAUUGGCCAACACAUAUAUGUAUAACAGGAUAAGGGCAAACUGGUUUGGCAACACUAUGAUACCUCAUCACAUGACCAUGACCUACCUACUCAACACAAUAUAUGUGCAAGAUGACAAGAAUCCAACAGGCAGGGUGACAUAAGUAUGUAUGGAGAACACCAAUACAAAAUGAUAAAACGAUCAAUUAUUUUUUCGAUAAGUUUUCAAAAAUGAAGGCUAUAUGGACAUUGUCCUAUACAAAACUAACACAAAAGAACCACUGGUGUUAGGAAUAGCUUCUAAACAUAAGUUUUGAUAAGUUAUUAGUGACAUCAUUUUCUCAUCAUAGGAAAAAGUAUGAAACAAGCAUAUAGUUAAUAUGACUCUCCUAUCACGUCUAUGAGAGACAAGGACUGAGCUAUACACAUAGUGAAAGCUGCAUCUCAUAUAUUUGACGAACACUACAGUAAACCGCUAAAUUAUUUUUAGCGCACAAUGGCCCACCAUUCGAAGAUGAUAUUUAUAGACUAAUCAAAACCUAAACUAGUGGCCACUUCAAGCCGAAACAAUGAACACACAGGGACAGAGCCACAGAGCGGAAAGAUGCGUGGACACAAAUCUCAAAAUAAAGGUUAAUUGUAGCAUCCCAGGAAUAAAUGGUUAUAGCUAAUUGCACGAGGGAUUUACCAAACAGGUGAUAAAUCGCACAUAGAUCGAUGGUACUAGUUGGAGUAAACAAACACGAUCUCACUAAACGACCUUCACACCCACCUCCUCGGAGAUUUCUAAACAAAACCUUAAACCCUGCUAAACCCCAAAGACAGUUAACAAAUGGUUGAAAAAUCUCACCUCCCUACCGGGGUGGAAGGGGAUCUGAGGCCCACCAGUGACCUCCACGGCCACAACUCCCGCGAGCUGCAAAAGGAGCAGAGAGAGAAAGGUACGCGGUCAGAACGCACAUCCAUUCGGGCAGAUCGAAUCAUCGAACCAGAUCGAUGCGAGAUCGGGGACCGACCUGGUAGAAAUCGGCGUAAGAGAGGAUGGGGAACUCCUCCUUGAUGGGCUCGAGCAGCCGCACCGCGAUGUCCAGCCCCGCGUUGGCGCCAUGCGCCAGUUCCGCCGGGUUCUUCAUCGUGCCGAAGGGACCGCCGGUCCUCGACGACACGUCGAACGUCCCGGCGGAGUGCCACCUGCGCGAUCGAACGGGAAACCCAGAUCAGGCGACUGAAAAAAAAAAACUCCCCCACAAAGAUCUAGAAAUGCGCGCGCAGGGAGGACGGGAGGUAGGUGGAGGUAGGGAGGCUUACGCGAGGCGGAGCAUGAGUGGGGCGCAGCUCUUCUCGGCGAUGAGGGCGCGGAGCUUUUGCCUGGCCUUCUCGACGGCCUCGCUGUACUCGGCGCUCACGGUCGGGUAGCUCUUCGCCAUGGCUGCGAACAGAGAGCUUCGAAUCGCAGAAUGCGAUGGGAAUGGGACGCGACGCGGCUGAGGUAGGAUCACAAAGAGCUGCUGGGGGCAAAUGGCCGCCACGCUCCCCAGGGGUUUAUAUUGCGACACAACCGAGGGGGGCGGAGGAUGGGAUUGCUAGGAGAAAGGGAAGCUUCUCGUAGGAUGCAUCGCGGCCGUCAGUCCGAGCGAUCGUGCGGCUAGAAUGGACGUCCAUUUGGACGGGCAUGGUUGGGCCGUGUGGCCUGCCCACGAUGCCAUUUGGGCUCAAUCGGAUUUCUCUAAUUUACCCUUGCAAAAUUGCUAGAAGAGGAGAAUGCAUUGGUGAUAUUUUGGUCAUUUAGCCUGUGGCCCCACCCUCUGUCUGCGGAUUAAACGGCGACGGUUCACGGCUUCACGGACGCGCGGGCCACGUGAGGCGCGUGGUUGGUGGCACCGGCCGGCUGGAAUAGUAACGCCGGCCACUAUUCUCGAACAGAGUGCCACCGGCACCGCGCGCAAAUGGUACACCGUACAGUGCCCUUGCCGUGAACGUGGGCCUUGUUUAGUUCACCCCAAAAAGCAAAAAGUUUUCAAGAUUCCCCGUCAUAUCGAAUCUUGCGGCACAUUCAUGAAGUAUUAAAUAUAAACGAAAGCAAAAACUAAUUACACAGUUUAGCUGGAAAUCGCGAGACGAAUCUUUUGAUCCUAGUUAGUCCAUAAUUGGAUAAUAUUUGUCACAAACAAACGAAAAUGUUACAGUACCAAAAUCCUAAAUCUUUUCGGAACUAAACAAGGCCAAACGAUCAGACGACCAGCAAUGGGUACACCAGACCACAUGCACAGAUUCGUUUCUCCUCGUUCAGAAGUUUUGGUCCAAUUUUUCAUCCCCUCGUGAUCCUUUUCUCACGCUAUCACGCACGACUCACAGCUCAGAAAGUCAGAAUCUUGUUCUCAUUGCUAUAUUUCAUUAUUUUCCGUAUAUAUUUCAACAAAUGGCACGAGCAACAAAUGCUUGCAACAACUCUUGAAAAUAGAGUCGCUACAACUUCGAGCCUGUUUGGAUUCACCCUAAUCAAAAUUUGGAUAGCUAAUUGCUAGAGCUAAAAUUUAGCCAACUAAUCCUCUAGCUAAUUGAAAAUCUGACCAUACCAUCCCUCAUUAAUUACAUUGCUUAGAGCAUCUUCAAGAGAUUAGCUAAAUCAUUUUUUAAAGGUAAAUUUAGCUAUUAUCGAAGGAAAAACGUUUCCAACAGACUUUGUAAGUGACUCUUCAAAUUUAGUAGCUCUCCAUCCCACCUUAUUCGCUCUCUAAUUUUGGAUAGCGUACCUCACUAGCCAUCUUUUACAAAGUCUGUUGGAGUACUCUAAUAUUUUUUUGUCGAAUCUAUUUUAAAGAUUACUAAAUCAGUAAAUUUAGCUAAUGUUUUUGGCUAAUCUCUUGGAAAGCUGGCUAAAAUUUUAGCUAGAGUGUUUAGAUCCUCUAACUAAACUUUAGCUAGAGAUAGUUUGAUCAUUAAACCAUUUUAGCUAAUUUUAGAUCAGUUGAAACAACUAAAGAGUGGGUUCGUUUUUUACUUUAGCUAAAGUUAGUUGUGUUUAUCUAUAGACUAUAGGUUGUUUCCGAUGCAUUACUAUUUUAGCUAAAAUUUAGCUGGUAAGACUAUCUUCAAAAAUCGUCAUCCAAAUGCAAAAUCCAUUUGUCCUUUGGGUAGCGUUACGUAGAAAAGAUUUUAUAUUUAUUUUUAGUCUUCUACAACAGCAAAACUUAAAGAACAACACUCUGUGUAAAUGGAUCUCGAGGAGAGAGGAUAUCCAAAUUUGGAUUAUGUUUCUUCUGAUACCCAAAAUAAAUCUUUUGUAUGAGUACACUCUUAGAGGCUAUCAAUAUUAUGUUGGACAACCAAAAAAUUUAAAAAACUAAACAAAGCCUCACUAGUCCGUAGACUUCUGAGCUACAACAACAGCAAAGCUUCAACGGCAGGAUGUGCAGCCAUGCUUGAUGCAGCUGCGGCAAUGAAUUUUCACCCAGGACCAAAAGCUGAAACCGAAGCGCACGAUCAGCAAUUCCGUCAGCAGAGUUUGAAAAACAUGGCAGCCUCAUGUCAGGCUUAUUUAGAGCAAGUAUUACUAUAGUGGGUUGUAAGAGCAAUCUCAGCCUAAGUCACUAAAUUCACUGUUCGCCUAAACGGCUGUUUAGACCGUUUAAACGCCGUGUAAACGCUACACAAUGGUACACCGUUUCCGUUUAAUCAUCUAUUUAGUCUGUUUAAUUGACCGUUUAGCCCGUUUAAUGGACUGUUUAGCCUGAAUAAUGGCUAAACGGCAGGUGACCGACUGUUUACCGUUUAGCGUUUAGAAAAACAUUGCCUAAAUUAAGCCCUUAAACUUUUAUUUACAAGCUAUGAUAAAAAAAGUAGGGGCUCAAAUUAAGACCCAACUCCAAUAAAAAAACAGACAAAGUCCUUAUCUCACAUAUUCUUGUCUUGAUUUAUGGGUGGGAAGAGGAAAGUGAGUGAGAUCCACUCGAUAGGGGGUUCUAGAUGUGAGAUGCUGAAACUAUAAUUUGGGAGGACAUGAAAAAUGAGAGCUCAAGGCCUUGUUUAGUUUCAAAAAAAAUUGGGAAAUCGAUACUAUACCACUUUCGUUUGUAUUUGACAAAUAUUGUCGAAUCAUGGACUAACUAGACUUAAAAGAUUUGUCUCGUCAAUUCCGAUCAAACUGUGCAAUUUAUUUUUAUUUUCAUCUAUAUUUAAUACUCCAUGCAUAUGUCUACAAAUUCAAUGUGACAGGAAUCUGAAAAAUUUUACAAAAUUUUUUAGGAACUAAACAAGGCCCAAGUAGGAGGUGGGUUGGAGUUGAUUUUUUGAUCAAGUCUCUAGAUUUAGAAUAGGGACUUGUUUAGGAGGUGGGCUGAAGUUGUUCUAAGCUGACUAAAUGUUGAGGUGGAUGAGAGAAGGGAGGAGAGAGAGGAGAAGCAGGUUGUAAGGUUACAACGAGCUUAGACACAAGAACCAAAAAACUUUGUGAGAGAGAUAAGUGAGCCGUGUAUUAAUAGUGAAUAGCUAACUAUUGUAUGGGUGGGUUGGGAGAAGACUAAGGCCUUGUUUAGAUUGGAGAUGAAAAUUUUUUGGGUGUCAUAUCAAAUGUGUCGGAAGGAUGUCGGAAGGGCUUUUUAGAAACUAAUAAAAAAACAAAUUACAUAGCUCGUCGGGAAACUACAAAACAAAUCUAUUAAGCAUAAUUAAUCUAUCAUUAGCACAUGUGGAUUACUGUAGCACCUAAGGCUAAUCAUGGAGUAAUUAGGUUUAAAAGAUUCGUCUCGCGAUUUUCAACUAAACUGUGUAAUUAUUUUAUUUCUUUAUGUAUAUUUAAUGUUCCAUGCAUGCGUCCAAAGAUUCGAUGGGAUGGAUGAAAAAAUUUUAGGUGCAAAACUAAACAGGUGAAAGGUCCUAAUAUGGCUAGAGGAGGGUGAAUAGCCUAUUUAAAAAAUUCUACAAACUCACUAGAGCAAGAGGUUAAUAAAUAACAAAGCGAAGCUUUUUGGUCUAGCUCUAAAGGGGUGUUUGCAAGCCAUCUAUCCAACAAUUCUAGUUGAUAUAAUCUCUAGGCACAUAAAAGCUAUGUUACUACUUACACUAGAGAGAUACCUAAAGUUUCUAUGCAAGUAAGAAAGCUACUCUAGUUUGCGGGAAUAUAAAAAGAGAUGGUUUGAUCUUUAUACCGCCGCUUAGAGAGGAUGAACCAAUCAAUAAUAUGAAGUCCAAUCACCGGGAGAAAUCCAAUGAAUAAUCACAAAGGAGACACACAAUUUUCUCCCGAGGUUCACGUGCUUGCCGGCACGCUACGUCCCCGUUGUGUCGACCAACACUUGGUGGUUCGGUGGCUAAGAGGUGUAGCACGAACCUCGUCCUCACUAGGACACCACAAGAACCUACCCACAAGUGAGGUAGCUCAAUGACACGAGCAAUCCACUAAUGUUGCCUUUGGCACUCCGCCGAAGUAGGCACAAACCUCUCACAAUCACCGGGAGAUGGCCACGAACAAUCACCAACUCGUGCCAAUCCUCCUCCGCUGCUCCAAGCCGUCUAGGUGGCGGCAACCACCGAGAGUAACAAGAAAACUGCAGCUAAAACGAUCUCCAAGUGCCACUAGAUGCAAUCACUCAUGCAAAUGCACUUGGAAUCACUCCCAAUCUCGCAAAGAUGUAUAAUCUAUGAAGGAGAUGAGUGGGAGGUGUUUGCUUAGCCUCACAAGGAUGUCAAGUAUGCUAGAAUGCCAAGAGAGUGAGCCCCAAGCCGGCCAAACACGUAUUUAUAGCCCCUCAAACAAAUAGAGCUGUUGGCUCUUUCACUGGGCGAAAUACGGGGUCACCGGACGCUCUUAAAGGGGCACCGGACGGUGCCUUACCCUAGCUGGGCUAGGCACUGUCUGCACCGGACGCUUAGACGCAGCGUCCGGUGCCCCAGAAGCCAGCGUCCGGUGAGUGUUUUCUCAGCGAGAAACACUCCCGCGACUUCUCCAAAUUUCCCACCGGCACAAUAGAAAAUAUGCACUUCAUUUUCUCGAAAAGCGCCGAAUCCCGCCGAGCUUGAGGAACCCAUCCUCUCUCUACCCUUGAAACUCCACCUAAUCAUUAAAUAAAAUAAAAAACCUAGAAUACUCAAAUCUAAAAAAAUUCACGAACUAAGGCCUUAUUUAGAUGCGAAAAGAUUUUGGAUUUUGCUACUGUAGCACUUUCGUUUGUUUAUGGUAAAUAUUGUCGAAUCAUGGACUAACUAGGAUCAAAAGAUUCGUCUUGCGAUUUACAGUUAAAUUGUGUAAUUAGUUUUUAUUUUCGUCUAUAUUUAAUGCUUCAUGCAUGUGUCAAAAGAUUCGAUGUGACAGAGAAUCUUAAAAUUUUUUGGUUUUUGGAGUGAACUAAACAAGGCUUAAAUAUGACCGUUUGGUCGUACAGGUCUUGCAAGGAACUUUAGGGGCUGUUUGGUUGCCCGCAUGUGGUCGAACGAGCAUCCCGGGAUGCAGCCUGCUCGUGUUUGGUUGUCUGGAGCUGUCCCCGAGCCUGGCUGAGCACAUGCAAAAGAUCUAUCCGAGCCUCGCUGAGGAGGAACGGCCAAAUCGGCCGUUCUUUUUGGACCUAGCUGGCUCGGACAGUUGUUUAGUGUGUUAAUGAUGGUAUUAGUGUAUAAUUAGUAAAUAUUAAGUGAUAUUAAUAUCUUUUAAAGAUAUGUAAGGCAUAAUUAGAUAAAAUAAGACUGUUAAGAGUAUAUUUGCACAAAAUAAAAAAUUUAAUAAUAAUCUUAUAAUAUUUUUUGUUUCAUGCAACAUGUCUCGUACACACAACCAAACAACAUCUCAUCUCAGCCGGGCUAGCCAGAUACAACAACAUCUCGUCUCAGCCGGACUAGCCAGAUACAACCAACCAAACACGAUAACAUGUAUGCACUCAAUCUUUCCUUUUUGAGCCAGACUUUUAUAUACGAGCCAGGCUCUACUACUACGUGAACCAAACAUGCCCUUAACGGGCGUCUGAAAGCGAGCUGCAAAGACAUCUUUUGUGAUGCCUUCGUUCCGGUUUUAGAGAGUAUGACUCGGCGCCGGUGGCAGACCACGGCGACCCAAAGUCCAAAGACGGGUUGAACCGGGGCAGAUCAGUGCGCAAGCUUUAGCUCUCUAAACUGCAGUUAGCGCGUGGAAAACACACGAUUGUCCAGUCGUGCAUCCGUCACAAAUCAAUUCACCACAGCCUUUGUAAAGAAACAAAGGCGUAGACGAAGACGAUAAAAAAGGUUUGGAAUCAGCGAGAGCCAUGCUGUAGUACAGACGAUCGAGGCGAGCAACGGAAGCAUAUUCUUUAUCCGAGCCUGCUAAAAAAAAUAGCCCACCCAGUACACACACGAGCCACGACCCACCUCACCCGGUCAGCCGGCCACGGGGCCACCGCUGCUGCCACCAACCGCAUCAAUGCCCACGCGCAGCGCGACAACGGGUAAUGGCACCCGCGCGGCGGUGAUUCGCGCGAAACUGAUGGUGAUGGCGACUUCCAUGGCAGAUUCCCCUGCCGCGCGCACCCACAGCCGCACGGCGCGACGGCAUCGGCGGAAAUAGUUUUGUUUUUCUUUUCCGGCAGUUCCACUUUGGAUGUGGAUCCCACGGCGCGCGUUACAUGGGCUGCUUUGCUUCGCUUUGCGGGAUUCGCGACGACAGCUCGCGCUGGGCGGGAUGAAAAUGGGACGGUCCGUUCCAAAGGAUCAAAUCUUAAACUUUUUUUCCGACAGCAGAAGAAUUAUAUAUUAAAUAAUAGGUGGUUAAAUGAACACGUUGCAAAUAAUUUGGAUUACAAAUAUAGAAGAAGGUUUUUUAUUUAAAUUAUACUUAUACUAUGAAUAGCUCGAGAUCUUAAAACCAAGCACUCGACAAAAUGCCUAAAAACAAAUGUCCAACAAAUAAAAGGCUAACAUUCACGUAGACGGAAUGGAGAAACUUUUUUUUUUCUAUUGUCUUCUUUCUUCAUUUUUCUGCCACCAAAGAAUAAGUAAGGCCUUGUUUAGUUACCAAAAAUUUUCAAGAUUUCCCAUCACAUCGAAUCUUGCGGCACAUGCAUGGUGCAUUAAAUAUAUAUAUAUAUAUAUAUAUAUAUAUGAAAACAAAAACUAAUUGCACAGUUCAUCUGUAAAUUAUGAGACGAAUCUUUUAAGCCUAGUUACUCCAUAAUUAGACAAUAUUUGAUAAAUAAAAACAAAAGCGCUACAGUGCCCAAACACAAAAAAAUUUGCAAACUGAACAAGGCCUAAGACUCAUCUCAAACUUAUUCUCCCAAAUCAUUCAGUAUGGCCAGAUCUUCUUCAUAGACUAGAUAUUUGGGAAUCAUUGGAUAUGCCUUAUAUAUAAAUAGGUCGUAUCUGAAUCUGCAUAUUUAAUGUCUUAUCAUAUCUGAAUUCAAAUACUUGAAAUUGAUUUUUUAUUUCUAUAUAAAAUAAUUAGAUAUCAAUACCGAAAUGAUCCGUAUCCAGUUUUAAUAUCAAAUAAAAUAUGAGAUAUCAGUUUUAAUAUCCGAUAAAAUAUGGGAUAUGGGAUAUAAUGGGAUCGCUAAUAUCGGUUUACAUCCGAGCCCGGUUUCAUCCUUCCAAAAUUUUUGGCAAAAUGAGUACUGUAGCAAUUUCGUUUGUAUUUGAUAAAUAUUGUCCAAUCAUAGACUAACUAGGCUCAAAAGAUUCGUCUCGUCAAUUCCGACCAAACUGUGCAAUUAGUUUUUAUUUUUAUCUAUAUUUAAUACUCCAUACAUACGUCUAAAGAUUUGAUGUGACGGGAAAUCUGAAAAAUUUUGUAAAAUUUUUGAAAACUAAACAAGGCCAUAGCUUCCCUCGAAGGCGAUCGGCGAAAGGCUCCAAUUGCCCCAUAAGGCCAUGAGCCCAUGAGUUCGAGCAUGCCGUGAUAAAUCUGGUACAGUACGAUGGAUAUGUUUUGGACCGGUUCCACCUCACCAGCGUUGGUGGGCAGGCUUGGCGAGCAGUCCGAAGUGUUUUGGACCAUGAGUGCGAGCAUGUUUUGGACCGGUUCCACCUCACCACGAUCCGCUACCAGGGCUCGUUGAUUUUCGGCCUUUUUAGGAUUAUUAUUACAGGCUAGUAGUAAAAAGGAAGAAGUCCACUUUACGUCCCUCAACUUUCGCAAAAGUAUAUUUUUCAUCCCUAAACUUCAAAACCGGGUAAAAUACAUCCCUCAUUUUUUGAAACCAUGCAUAUUACGUCCCUGACAUGGUUAUGAGUGGUUUUGAAGGCAGUUUUAUCUUUUUCAUUUUUAUUUAUUUUGGCUGAAUAUUUGUAAAAUUAUAGUAAAUCACAUAAAAUUCAUAAAAUAGUCAAUCUGAUUUUGUUGGACUCCAGAUAAGUAGAUCUACAUAGUGAACAUAUAAUAUAGUAUGCUUUAGUACAAAAUUUUUAUUGUAGCUUUAGAACUAUUUUUUUAUAAUUAAUUAGAAUAAUAGCUAUAGUUUGUAUGGUCCAAUUGUGGUGAAUUUUUUAUUUUAGACUAAUUAUUAUAUGUUUAAACUAUGGUAAAAAAGUUCUUACUCAUUAGAUCAUGUAUAACUUAGUUAUAGAUUUAUUAUAAUUUAACAAGCAUAAACCUAAAUAAAUCUAUAACUAAGUAAUACAUGAUUCAAUGAGUAUAAAAUUUUUACUAUAACUCAAACAUAGAAUAAUUAGCUCGCCGCAUAAAUUUCAUCACAAUUAGACCAUAGAAAAUGUAGCUAUAAUUAGUCUAAUUAAUUACAGAAAAACAUAGAUCUAUAAAAAGAUUCGUCUCGUGAUUUACAGCUAAACUGUAUAAUUAGUUUUUGUUUUCGUCUAUAUUUAAUAUUUAAUGCAUGUGCCACAAGAUUUGAUAUGAUGGGGAAUCUUGAAAUUUUUUUGGUUUUCAGGUGAACUAAACCAGGCCCAAAAGCCCAAGGCACACAGAACACACGCAGCCAAGCCUAACUAGACGACUGCACGCAAGCAAUGACGACACAUGCUGAUCACUGGUGGCUGACGACGACGAGUGGUGGGCUUUUAGUCAAGCCAAAGUCCACGGAAAGUGAAAACCGGAAACCAGAAACGAGGAAAGCGUGUGAGCUGUGUGUGCGCGCGCGCGCGAGAUUACCUUAACGUCCAAUCCAGUAGUGCGCGCGCGUGCUAUUGAAAAUUCUACUCAUCUACUGCUACAGUACUACUAGGGCCUUGUUUACUUUAGAAAAGUAAAAAGUUUUCGGUGCUGUAACACUUUUGUUUAUUUGUGACAAAUAUUAUCCAAUCAUGGACUAACUAGGAUCAAAAAAUUCAUCUCGUGAUUUACAGCUAAACUGUAUAAUUAGUUUUUGUUUUCGUCUAUAUUUAAUGUUUCAUGCAUAUGCUAAAAAAUUCGAUGUGACGGGAAAUCUUGAAAACUUUUUGGUUUUAGCCGAUCGACCGAGCGGCCAUCUGGAACAAAAAUGCUCGAGAAAGAUGCAUGCUGGAAGAUUGCUAUCUUGUCCAAGACCUUGUUUAGUUCACUGUAAAAACUAAAAAGUUUUUUAAGAUUACAUCGAAUCUUGCGGCAUAUGCAUGAAGUAUUAAAUAUAAACGAAAAUAAAAACUAAUUACACAGUUUGCCUGUAAAUCGCGAGACAAAUCUUUUGAUCCUAGUUAGUCUAUGAUUGGAUAAUAUUUACCACAAACAAACGAAACUACUACAGUAGCAAAAAAAAAUCAAAAAAAUUUCACAUUCUAAACAAGUCCCAAGAUCCUAUAAGAUUCGGUUCUUGGUUCAUUGUGAAGACUUCCUCGCACGAGCGAGUAGGCAGGUGCAAGCUCGUUCGUGCGCACGUACGUUACGUGUGGCAGAAAAGUCAUCGACAUGACGACUACCGUGCAAAAACUUUGUGGAAGGAUUAACAGGGGAACGGAUAAGGGCGACGCCGGCUGUGCCUUUUAGCCCCAACUGCCCAAGCGAGCAUGCUUCUCUUUGAAUCUUUGAAUAUAAUAAUUCGUUGUUCUUUGAGGAAAUUAAAAAAGAAAAUACCGGGGCUAAUUACUCAUAUCCAUGUACAGGGACCAACAAUAGACUUACAUUCUCCUUAUUAAAAAAACAAUAAACUUAGAUUCUUCAAAGAGUUCAGUUUAGUGCAUCCCCUGUUCAAAGGUGAACACAACUAUUCCCAGAACAGGUUCGCAAAAAGGUGAAAAGAACAAGUAUUCCCGGGACAAAUGGCAUGGGAAAACGGUUACGACGAGAGGUCACCGGAUGCAGCAAAGACAACAUUCACUCGCAGACGAGAUGCAAACAGCUUAGGUGCGGCCCCAUCGAUUGAUCCAGAAUUAUUUAGCACAAGUUACAUUACACAGCCAAAGCAGCACAAACACACACGGUCUAAUCUGUACACCACCACCACCCAUCUCCACUCCACGACCGUCCUCCAUCCCAAACACAGGCUUAAAUUAGCAACCGGCAGCUAGCCAAACUUGAGCAACAAACCAUCAGGGGGGCUCGCUCCUACCGUCCUCCUAUGGACGCGCCGUGCGUCAGUCGGCGCCGUCACCAGUGGCGGCGGAGCCGCUCCCGCCCCCGCCCCCGCCGUCGCCGUUGCCGUUGUCGUCGUUGCCGCCGCUGCCGCCGGUGAAGUCCCUUAUGAUCUUUCUCUUGAUGUCGCCCCUCCUCGGGGUUGGAUUCCCGUGGGGCUUCUUCCUCUCCUCCUGCUUGUCCAUGCUGCCAAGUCACGCGCGCACGCAGCGCAGCGCAGGAACGGCCGCGGUGGGCGAGCCUCGAGGCUGAGAGUGGGUUUGUGUCGAGUGACGGCGCGCGAGUGACACCUGCGUAGAUUUGGGGGCUUCUUUUAUAGAGCCAAAUCGCAAACAGCCUAUUGACACUGGGUUUUUAUCUGUAGGAUAAAAUAUUUGGCUUGGGCAACGACUAAUCGUCGCAAAAGAUCAGCUUUGCAUCUAGGGCCUUGUUUAGUUCCGAAAAGUAAAAAAUUUUCGGUACUGUAGCACAUUCGUUUGUUUGUGACAAAUAUUAUCUAAUUAUGGACUAAGUAGGAUCAAAAGAUUCGUCUCGUGAUUUAUAGCUAAACUGUGUAAUUAAUUUUUAUUUUCGUCUAUAUUUAAUGUUUCAUGCAUAUGCCACAAGAUUCGAUGUGACGGAGAAUCUUGAAAACUUUUUGAUUUUCAGAGUGAACUAAAUAAGGCCUAGAGGUUUGGGGACUAUUUGCUCCUUUAGCCGGGCAUAGCUCGCAGCGCACCUCUCGCUUUCAGUGGCAUUGCGCCAUUGCUGAUGCCUGACAGUGGACCCGUGAGCAUCGGCUGCAUCGGUGCCGUGUGUAGUACGUACUGUGCACGAUCGAUUCAUUAUUGUGCAAUCCGAGGCCAGACAGGUGGAGGUGGUUGCGGAUGCCGUGAGUGUCACGAGUCACAGAUCUCACACACUCUCAGCUCCAUGACUGGAGUGGAGUCGCUCGGGGCGGGCGUGAUUGGUUGAUAGGAUUCAGCGUAGGCCUUGUUUAGUUUCGAAAAAUGAAAAGUUUUCGAUAUUAUAACAUUUUCGUUUGUUUGUGACAAAUAUUAUCCAAUCAUGGACUAAUUAGAAUCAAAAGAUUCGUCUCGUGAUUUAUAGCUAAACUGUGUAAUUAGUUUUUGUUUUCGUCUAUAUUUAAUGUUUCAUGCAUAUGCCACAAGAUUCGAUGUGACGGGAAAUCUUGAAAAAAUUUUGGUUUUUAGGAUGAACUAAACAAGGCCAUAAUGGGAAAAUAUGUGCUGCAAACCACAUGCUACGUGGAAAUAUGAAAACCAAUUCAAAAAUGUGAAGAAUUCAUGCAAAAAUGUUAAAUUUCAUAUGCAUGUGCACUAGAAGACAAAAUCAGCGUAUUUUUGUCUUUUAGUGCAUACACAUAUGAAAUUUAACAUUUUCGUAUGAAUUUUUUAGUUUGAAUUUGCUUCUCAUCUUUUACGUGUAAGUAUAUAUUUAUAUGCAUUAUGUACAUAUACCAAAUUUCAAGCUUUUUGAUAUCACCAAGAUAUGUUUUUUUAAUUGGUUUCCAUGUUUGCACCUAGCAUGCGGUUUACACCAUAUAGUUUCUCAGCAUAAUUAGGCCCGGAGAUCGAUUGAUUGGUUACAUCUAUCGAUAUGAUUAGUUGGAUGAAGUAGCAUAAGAGCGCCCCUCCCCUGGCUUCGUUCAAGUUGGGUGUGCCGUGUGCGGGACGAGGGAACAAUGGUUCAUCAAUCAGUAUCUUCUUGUGUCCUGCCUAGAUGGGCAUGUUUGGAUUUGAUCUAAAUAAACUUUAGCCCAAAAAUUUUGGAUUAUUUUAUCUCUUGAGACUUUAAAUAGAUAGUCUAAAGUUUAACUAAUCCCAAAUAGUGUUGAGGCUCCGAACAGGUUCAUUAGACCUUACAAAUAAGCUAAGAGUGAUUUAAAUUUUAGCCACUAAACUUUAGAUCAUGAGAUCUAGAUAGGACCAUAGAUUAAUAGUCAGAUACUCAUGAUCUGAUGAUACUUGUUUUCAUGAGCAAAUGUAUAGUCAGAUACUUGUUUUGUAUCAUAAAAAUUAGUACAUUUGUAUACAAUUUUGGUCAAACCUCAAGGUGUUUGACUCCUUGAAAACGAGAAUGUUUUGAGACCGAGGGAGUAAUCACCUUUGUUAAGUUUUUGUUCUUCUGUCCGUAUGAAUUUAUGUCUCAAAACAAUUGCUCAUGUAUAGUUUUUUAAAAGCCAAACUUUUAAGUUUAACAAAAAUGUAUAAAUAUAUUAGUAUUUAUGAUACAUAAUAAAUGUUCUUAAAUUAAUAAUGGAAUAUAUUUUUCUAUUGCCCUUUUUAAUGUUUGAGUACUUUUUGGGUUAAAAUGGAAAAAAUCGCACAAACUAUACAUUUGCUACUAUGAUAUCUGUUGUAGUCUGUUCCUAGUAGUGAGUAUAGCCUAUUUUCUCUAUCCUUAGGCUAUCUCCAACAAUGGAGACCUAAAUCAGAGACUCAUUCAAUGAUUUGGGUUAUGCACAGUAAAAGGGUCACCUCCCUAAAACUGUCCUUCUCCAACAGCCUACGCAAAAGUUCUCCCCAACCUCCUCGGAACGCAUCCUUGCCGCAUCGGUAGCACCUGGCCAUGGCCGCUUCUCCGCGUGGCUGCGCUCGCUGCGGAUCCACCUCGCCUCGCUCCCUACCUCACCCUGUCGGCUGCACGCCAGCGCCGCAAACCCCGCCUCACUCUACUCCCUGCUCCUCGCCGCGGAUCCAGCGAGCGGAUCCACCGCAGCCUUGCCCUCCCGACGGCACCAGGAGCAGCGCCCCACUGCCUGCGAGGAGGAAGAAGGGGAGGGCGCCCCACCUUGGCGUCCGCGCCCGGCCUGCGAGGAGGAAGAAGGGGAGGGCGCCCCACCUUGGCGUCUGCGCCUGGCCUGCGAGGAGGAAGAAGGGGAGGGCGCCCCACCUUGGCGUCCGCGCUCGCCCUGCGAGGAGGAAGAAGGAGAGGGCGCCCCACCUUGGCGUCCGCGCCCGGCCUGCGAGGAGGAAGAAGGGGAGGGCGCCCCACCUUGGCGUCUGCGCCUGGCCUGCGAGGAGGAAGAAGGGGAGGGCGCCCCACCUUGGCGUCCGUGCCCGGCCUGCGAGGAAGAAGAAGGGGAGGGCGCCCCACCUUGGCGUCCGCACCUGGAGAUCGAGCAGCGCCUGGCCACCGGUGUCGUCCUCCUCUCGACAGAGUUUGCGUCACCUCUCCGGAAGACGCAUAUUUGCGCUUUCCCUCAACUGCUGCGCAUAAUGGGUUGCUCGUUUGGGUUUUCCGUUGGAACGUGGAUUUGGUGAUGCAAAACAUUGUUCGCGAUGUAUUUUGCUUUUUGGGGUGGCUGUUGGAGACAGUCUUAGUGUUGCAUAGGUGGAUCUGCAAAAACCGAGACUAUUGGAUCCAUUGUGCGCGUGCUAUUUACCUGCAAACAACCCACCACAAAUUGGAUUCAGCGAAUAAAUGAUACAGUCGCCGAUACGGUAGUCCUACAGAGAAGAAGAGGAAGAACGGGAUUGUGAAAGAACGUAUAAAGAUAUCUUGUCAAUGUCACCGUCAUGCCUCAUGGGGCCUUGGACUUCUUCGCUCAGCCGGGUGAGCCGCAACAAUUGACCAAAUCGGUUUCUAGCUCAAUCCUUGAAGGUAUGAUUGCAAUCAUUCGUGUUUGCUAGAACUUAUCAACAGAGCUUAUCAAUUAUUGCAUAGUGUUUUUUUUCAAUAAAUUAGUGAACAGUGCUUUUCUACAUCAGCAUAGAUCAAGGCCUUGUUUAGUUCUAAAAUUUUUUACAAAAUAGAAAUAGUAGCACUUUCGUUUGUAUUUGAUAAAUAUUAUCCAAUCAUGAACUAACUAGGCUCAAAAGAUUCGUCUCGUCAAUUCCGACCAAACUAUGUGAUUAGUUUUUAUUUUCGUCUAUAUUUAAUACUCCAUGCAUGCAUCUAAAGAUUUGAUGUGAUGGGAAAUCUGAAAAAUUUUACAAAAUUUUUUGGGAACUAAACGAGGCCCAAAUUUCAGCAAUAUAGAAAAACGUAUAAUCACCUCUGUUAAGUAUUUCCUCUUAUCUUUGUUAGGGUGUGUUUAAGUUUAGGGGUGUCAUAUUAUGUGUCACGAGCGUGUCACAUUGAGUGUUCGGAUAGUAAUAUAUGUUUAUUAAGCUUAAUUAAUUCGUCAUUAACAUAUGUUUAUUGUAGCACCAUAUCGUCACUAAUUAGGUUUAAAAAUUUUGUCUCAUAAAUUAGUCACAAUCUGCACAAUUAGUUAUUUUUUAGUUUAUAUAUGUCCAAAUAUUUGAUGUGGCAGAGGCUAAACUUUAGAGGGACUAAAUAAGAUCUUAGGUUGUCUCCAACAGGAGACUCAUUUGGAAACUUAAACCUCAAAUGGGUCUCCAACGCAAUAUCUAUAGCCUCAAACAGAGUACCCAUACAGAAGACCCAUUUUGGGUAUCAGAAGAGGCACAACUCAAAUUUGGGUAUCCUCUCUCCUCGAGACCCAUUUGCAGAGAGUGUUGUCUUUUAGGUUUUGUUAUUGGAGAAGACUAAAAAAAAGGUAUAGAACUUUUUACCUGUAACGUUACCAAAGGACAAAUGAGUUUUCUAUUUUGGGCUGCGAGUGACAUAGGUGGUGAGCUUGCACGUCCAGGGCAUCCCCAACGGUUAGCCUAGGCCAAAUGCUAUUUGGGGGAAAGCAAGCCGAGCUCCGCGCUAGCGAGAUUGGAGUCACAUAUCUCGAAUAUCUUUCGAAAAACUCUUACUCACAGCUAGGGUCUUGUUUAGUUUCAAAAUAUUUUGCAAAAUCGAUACUGUAGCUUUUUCGUUUGUAUUUGACAAAUAUUAUCCAAUCAUAGACUAACUAGGCUCAAAAGAUUCGUCUCGUCAAUUUCGACCAAACUGUACAAUUAGUUUUUAUUUUUAUCUAUAUUUAAUACUCUCUGCAUGUGUCUAAAGAUUCGAUGUGACGGGGAAUCUGAAAAAUUUUGCAAAAUUUUUUAGGAACUAAACAAGGCCCUGGUUGCACUCUGCGUGUCUGAUACUCUGAUGCCCAUUUUUUUUAUUCUCCUCAAAGAUUAAGUCGCUGUUCAUUUCUCUGGUCUUGUUGGGAACGCCCUAAGACGCAGAUGGAAAACGAAGCUUGUCAGAUCAUCUGUUUGGGCUGGUCUGUAAUCUAGCGAAGAAAUGUGUGAAAUCAUCGCGGCGGAAGUUGACUACCCUCAGCUGCACUGAGGUGAAUCCUGUGACGGGGGAUCGGAGUCUCAGCGGUGCUCAGGAUUGCGGAACUUUAAAAGAGUAGUCCACACGAGUGGCAAUAACCUUGCUAGUAUAAACCAUCUUCUCGCAAUGAUGCUGCCAAACUGGAACUACAUAGGGAGAUGCCCAACUGCAGCUCCGUACAGCUAGCCAUCUACCGCGCGCAAAACUGAAACUAGCAGCGCAAACGUGAUUGGAAAAAAACAAAAAAAAACUGGAACUAGCUGUGGGGAUUCUAUACCGAACGAAGCAUAAUUACAGACAAGUCACAAGAACAACAAAGAGAUCGAAGAUCACACAGUGCAACACAAAGUGAGCAUUCAUUCAUAGAUCCAGCAGAGUGCGUCCCUGUCAGCCAAUCAAGAAUUAUUGCACAACACACACAAAGUUACAGAACCAGGCACACGAACCCCUCGAUCACCGAUCAACCACUCCAUAUUACCACCACCAUCCCAUGCACAUCCUACACAACAUUACAUACGGAUCGAAAGGCUUCAGGGAAACCUGCCGGCAGCCUAGCAGAAAUAAAGACUAAAGAGGCCAGCUCACUAAAGCAACGGCAACAAGCACGUACCAUCAUGCGGUCAGCCAGAAGCGUCGGCGGCGGCGCCGGCAGAAUCUCCACUGCCCCUCUUGCCGUUGCUGUCGCCGACGUUGCCGCCGUCACCACCAUCACCACCAGGGUUCUUGGUGCCCCCUCCGAUCAAGUCUUUGACGAUCUCUUUGAUGAUGCUGCCCCUCCGGAUGUUCGGGUUGCCGUGGGGCUUCUUUCUCUGGCCGUCCAUGGCGCCGCGCUCUCGCGCAAACACAGCUGCUUGGAACGCUGGCGACAGGCCCCAGCGGCACCCUGACUUGGGUGCGGCCGUGUUCGAGACUAGCUCGAGAGUGAGCACUGAGCAGGUGGACUACACGGGCUGACGGUCGAGGUGCUAUCCGCUAGCUAUCCCAUCUUAUUAUAUGCUAUAUAGGCAACAUGUCGUUUCUUUAAUUAACACAAAUGUUUUUGUCUUUUGCGCCAAGAAGUAUGUGGGAAAAAAAACUUAAAAACACUGAGGAACCUCAAGCAACGACUGGUCUAGAGUACCUCUAGGCUCUCGGUCUGGUUUUUGUGUUAUAAAUCAUAUUUUUUCUGUCAACUAAUUCUGUUUUUUUUUUCCUUGGCCUUCGCUGGAUACAGCCCGUAUAUCGGACGACGUGUGUCGUGCCGUGGCGCACGUCUCUCAUCGCGAUGACGUAAGUUGUAAAUCUCGGCUCUACGUCGCUGCAAUGACGCACGUACCAAUAGCAUGCACGUAUAGCGACGAGGCAGUGUGCUAUAGCCGCCUAUAGCGGAGCGCCAUGGCUGCACCUGCAUGAGCAUGUGACUCCGAUGGGCGAUAUGGCCGAUGCAUGCAGUCACCGGGCACGAAGACCAGUCUACAGUCCCACAGAUCAUUGCAAAUGGAUCGUCAGGUCACCCUCGUGGGGCUCGUAGCUUGUACGGCGCACGUGGCACUGGACGACUUGUUGACCCAGGCUGUGGCCGGCAGCUCAUUUUUUAUCUGCUGGUGUGUUGGGCUGGUGGCCUGGCGCCCUCGUGGACGUGGUGGUCUUGCUUGUGCUUGGUGGACCGAACCCGAACCUGACUUACCCAAAGCUCUGUUCCUUUGGUCCCCCAACUAACGGGAUUGGGAGGAAAUGAGGAGGAUUAGGCUUUGUUUAGUUUCCCGUCUAAAUUUUUUUAUUCAUCUCAUCGAAUCUUUCGGCAUAUACAUAAAACAUUAAAUUUAGACGGUAAAAACUAAUUAAUUAUAAAUCGCGAGACGAAACUUUUAAAGUUAAUUAGUCUAUAAUUAGUCAUAAUUGCUACAACAACCAACAUAUGUUAAUGACGAAUUAAUUAGGUUUAAUAAAUUCGUCUUGCAGUUUCAAACGAGUUAUGUAAUUUUUUUAAUUAGUUCACGUUUAAUAUUUUAAAUAUAUACCGAUAUAUCUGAUGUGAUACUUAUUUUUUUUCUGAACUAAACAAGACCUAAAUAAAUAAAUAAAAGUCAAAAUCCACGUUAACCCUCUUUAACCCCCACAGGCCACAACAACCGAACAAGCCCUGAAGUGGCAUCCCGCUCCGCGCCCGAUCUUGCCCGCGAUCGUGUCGCAGUGAUAGUCAGGUCUUGUUUAGAUACAAAAAGUUUUGGGAUUUUGACACUAUAGCAUUUUUGUUUUUAUUUGACAAAUAUUGUCUAAUUAUGGAGUAAUUAGGCUUAAAAGAUUCGUCUCGUGAUUUACAGUUAAACUGUGCAAUUAGUUAUUCUUUUUAUCUAUAUUUAAUACUUCAUGCAUGUGCCGCAAGAUUCGAUGUGACGGAGAAUCUUGUAAAGUUUUAGGUUUUUUGGUGUAUCUAAACAAGGCCUCAGUCUCUCGUCGCCGUGCGCUGCGCCGGAAUGGGUGGAUGGAUGGAUGGAUGAACAUUGUUUUCAGGUGAUGUCAACAGGGAAUUUUGUGUCGAGGAGUGCUUUUCUAACGCUUUGUUCUUUGGUGGCUGAUUUAUUGUGAAAGAAAAAUACCGUUGAAUGGCUGACAUAUUUGACUGAUAAGCCCAAACGAACAAAACAGAUCUGUCUCCGUGGGGAAGAAACUUCCUCCAUCUCCGUCCCCACCAAAUGUCACGAGGGAGAUUUUCUCCCCAUCACUGUCUCCGUGCGGGGAAUAAUCCUCGUGGAAUUUCCUGUAUCCACGUUAGUUCAUAUCAGUUCAUGUGAUGUCAACUAUUCACAUAUUCACGAAUUCGUAUUAAUGGUAUACAAACAAAUUCCUUCUACAAAGAUUCAUAUUUAAGACGAAGAAAGUGAAGGUUUAGGGUUUUAACUUUGUUUAUACUAGGAGCAUACCCCGCGCGUUGCUGCGGGAAUUGCGGAUUAAUGGAUUGCGUAGUACGAUGAUGUGGACUAUACUUAUUUUUGUCUUGCUGGCGUGGACAGUACAAUUAUCAUAUGUGCUAUUGGAUUUUAAUUGUAUAUAUGUGGUAGCACAUUGCAUGUUGAGAUAAAUAGUUAUUAAGGUUUUACUUAGUGGAUUUUAACUCAAUAUGGUAGUGCAUUGCUUAGGUGGAUAGUUUGCAUGCUUAGAGAAAUACUUAGUGGGGUUUAGAAUUAUAAGAGUUAUAGAUACCACAGUUAUUGGACCUUGCAAGUAUAUGGGCCUUUAAAAUCGGAUCCCCGUGGGGAGUGGGGGACGGGUCAUGCAUACCAUCUCCGGCCAUGUGAACCCCGAUAGGGUCAACUUUAGCCUCGUUUAAUUUCCCCGUGAGAGCAAAUUAAAUCUAUACCAUCUCCGUUCUCUAUGGGUGAAUUCCCCACGGAAAAUCGUAAAACGGGCCCGUUAACAUCUCUGUUCCCAUUAGGCUAGACAGCUGGAGCAAGAGUGUGCUCUCGCACUGCUCCUCAGCUCUGCCCUCUUGGAUUCGAUAACUAGAGCGACCUAGAUUGCCUCAUCACUCUGCUUGGAUUGUGCCGCCGCUCUGUCUCUCGGCUCGUCGCAUUAGGUUAGUUUUAGGCCUUGUUUACUUCCAAAUCUUUUUGCAAAAUAUGAAUAUUAGCCCUUUCGUUUAUAUUUGACAAAUAUUGUCCAAUUAUGGACUAACUAGGCUCAAAAGAAUCGUCUCGUCAAUUCCGACCAAACUGUGCAAUUAGUUUUUAUUUUCAUCUAUAUUUAAUACUCUAUGCAUACGUCUAAAGAUUCGAUAUGACGGAGAAUCUGAAAAAUUUUGCAAAUUUUUUAGGUAACUAAACAAGGCUUUAAUGGAGAUUUUAUGUCACAUGUAUCAACACAUCUAAAUUUUAGAAACAGUGUAGAAGAGUUUUAUGUAUGUAAAACUCUCUCUGACAAAACUCUUAUCAUAUUUUUUUUAUUAUUAAAACUGGUGUGGCGGGCCACCACCGGCGCCUUUGGGUUCGGAACCUCGAGUGGAUCCGCACUUCCGCAGCCGCAGGCAUGUUCAGGCCCUGUUUAGUUCCCCACCCAAAAUUUUUUCAUCCAUCCCAUCGAAUCUUUGGACACAUAUAUGGAACAUUAAAUGUAGAUAAAAAAUAAACUAAUUACACAGUUUAGUUGAGAAUCACGAGACGAAUCUUUUAAGCCUAGUUACUCUAUGGUUAGCCUUAAGUGCUACAGUAACCCACAUAUGCUAAUGAUAGAUUAAUUAUGCUUAAUAAAUUUGUCUUGCAGUUUCCUGACGAGCUAUGUAAUUUGUUUUUUUAUUAGUUUCUAAAAACCCCUUUCGAUAUCUUUUCGACACAUCCGAUGUGACAUUCAAAAAAUUUUCAUCCCCAAUCUAAACAGGCCCUCAAUGAACACGUGCUUCGUUGACAGACGGUCAGACGCCACCACCCGUCUAUGGAGUACGGUCCACCCCGACGCGACAGUGACCGGCAGGCCGCAGGCAUCUGCGCACGCCGCCAGGCUUGCCAUGGCGUGCCGUCAAGACGGUAGAGGUCCAUUCUUCGCUCUGAAGUCACGGGGCGCCGGGCGGAGACCUGAGCCAUGCAACCUCCAAGGGCCAAGUGGCAGAGGUGGGGCUACCUUUGGAUCGCCACAGGCCCACAGCGAUCUCGGUGGAAUCCGGGCAGAGCUGAGGAGCAAAACACGGUGGACGCUCCAGUCGUGACUUGUUUACUUUAAAAAAAAAACUAAAUUUUUUUAAAAUUCCCCGUCACAUCGAAUCUUUAGACGCAUCUAUGAAGUAUUAAAUAUAGACAAAAAUAAAAACUAAUUGAACAAUUUGGUCGAAAUUGACGAGACGAAUCUUUUUAGCCUAGUUAGUCCAUAGUUGAACAAUAAUUAUCAUAAACAAACAAAAGUACUACAGUAAUACGAAAUUUUUUUCUUCGCGAACUAAACAAAGCCUAAAUACGCCGUUGCUUCGGUCCGAGUCAGGCAGUGCGACAAAAAAGGCUCGCCACUUUUCUCGUCCAGUCGUCUUCGCCACUGAAGCCGCCGAUGCCGUGUCGGGCCCAAUCAGCAGGUGCUGCUUGCAGUGCAAGACUUCACCAUGAAGCACUCACUGGCUGACUGAGUGACUGGCAACAUCUUCGCAUGCAUGUCACAACAUGAUCGUGUAGAACUAUGCACAGGGGCAUAACUGCAUACUCCGUAAAAGAAAAGAUUACAAGAUUCGUUUGUUUUUUGAUUUUAACACUGUAUCACUUUUGUUUUUAUUUGACAAACAUUAUUCAAUUAUGCAGUAACUAGGCUUAAAAGAUUCGUCUCUCGAUUUAUAGACAAACUGUAUGAUUAGUUUUUAUUUUUAUCUAUAUUUAAUGUUUCAUAUAUGUGCCGCAAGAUUCGAUGUAAUGAGAAAUCUUGAAAAAGUUUUUGGUUUUUGGUGUGAACCUAAGAUGUAUCCAUCGCUGCUCUACAUUUAAGGAUUUUCACGGCCAGUUCCAAAAAAGGCCUUAUUUAGUUAAAAAAAUUUGCUAAAUUUUUCAGAUUCUUCAUCACAUCGAAUCUUACAGCACAUGUAUGAAGCAUUAAAUAUAAAUUAAAAAAUAACUAAUUGUAUAGUUAGCCUGUAAUUUGCGAGACGAAUUUUUUAAGCCUAGUUAGUUUAUAAUUAGACAAUAUUUGUCAAAUAAAAACAAAAGUGUUACAGUGUACCUUUUGCAAUUUUUUUGCAAUUAAGGCCUUGUUUAGUUCCGAAAAAUUUUGGAAAAUCGACACUGUCGCACUUUCGUUUGUAUUUGACAAAUAUUGUCUAAUCAUGGAUUAACUAGGCUCAAAAGAUUUGUCUCAUCAAUUUCGACCGAACUAUGCAAUUAGUUUUUAUUUUUGUUUAUAUUUAAUAUUCCAUGCAUGCGUUUAAAGAUUUGAUGUGACGAAGAAUAUGAAAAAUUUUGCAAAAUUUUCUGGGAACUAAACAAGGCCUAAACAAGGCUUGCGGUUGUCCAAUGCCUACCGGGAAGUAUCGGGAUCCCAAUACGUGAACUUCUGUAUACACGCAUAGUCAUUCUGUAAGCCAUACAUCGUUGGUUCGAGAAUAGGCCUCAUUUAGUUGGUGGGUGAAAAGUUUUUAAACGUUAUAUUGCAUGUUUUAUAAAUUGUUGGAAGAAGUGUUUAAAUACUAAUUAAAAAAUUAAUUAUGUAACUCGUUUGGAAGCUGCGAGACGAAUUUAUUGGCAUAUGUGUUAUUGUAGUAUUAUGACUAAUUAUGAACUAAUUAUGCUUAAAAGAAUCGUUUCGUAGUUUUUAUAUAAAUUGUGUAAUUAGUUUUUUAAUUUAUAUUUAAUGUUUUAUAUAUGUGUUCAAAUAUUUGAUGAGACGGGGUGAAAUUGGAUGGGAAUAAAGAAGGCCUAAUACUAGAACAGAGCCUUUUCAAGUGAAACAGAGUACGCAACCACAAUGCAGAACAGAGAGAGCAGAGUUCUUCGCUAAAAAACUUCAGAAUUCAGAUUAUCACCGUCGUGUGAAUUCUGAACUAGUCUAUCCAAAAGCGUGUUCAGUGCUUUUAUGAUAGGUAUGGACGAAGUAUGUUUCAGAUACGUAUCGCAGGUAUCUGAGAAGUAUUAGCAUCAUCAUAAACGAGCUUUCACAAACCUCAACGAAUCAUAGUUUCAGUUUCAGGUUCAGGUUUUCCCUUCAAGAAGAGUAAUCUUGUUCAAGUGAAAGAAACAGAGUACACAACCGUAAUGCAGAGCAGAACAGAAAUCCAUCACCAUUACAUCAAGUGAACGUUAGAUAUGCAUCGUGGCCUUGUGGGUAAGAAGUAAGAACAUUGAGGCCCCGUUUGGAUCCUUUUAUUUUGAAGGAAUAAGAAUCUCUUUAAAAAAUUAGGCUAUUUGACUUAGAAUUUGAGAUUCCACAACUUUUUAAAGUUCACGUAUAAGCCUAUCUCAAAUUCAUAGGGGGCGAUGGGAAAUAGAUUCUAUAGAUUCUUUCUUCUUUUUUCUCUAAUUUAAGUAAAGAUGUAGAAUUUCUUCUUUCUUCUUCCAUAAUUAUAGUUUAUUAUAAUGAAUUCAAUUUUAAGGAUCCAAAUGGACCCUAAGAAAAUUCAUCAAAUAACAAGAGUAAUGCUUGUUCAAGUGAAAGAAACAGAGUACAGAACCGUGAUGCAGAGCAGAACAGAAAUUCAUCACCACUAGUACAUAAUAUCCACAAGACAGUGGUGACCUCAAAAGGAAAGAGCCUUUUUGCCCAUGUACUAAGACACUGAAGUCGGAGUUCAGACUUCAGAUACUCCAUUCACAGAAAGCUUCCGAAUUCAGUUCAUUCAUUCACAGCCAAGGUCUGAAUUCUGAAUCCCAUACCAUUAUACACAGCUUACCCGAAGUGCACACCCCCACCCACCCGAUCCCACCCCCGAGGAUUCUCGGCAGGUUCAAGGACCGCCGCUGCAGGCUGCAGCAUUUCUCAACGGGGAUCGUGGCAACCCCGCAUCUUGAUUCUCCUUGUUAUCUCGCCUCGGUCAAACCGCAUCAGCCACCGGGGAAAACGCGGCGGUGGCUGCUGCCAUCUUUGUUCUUGCCGCCUUCCUUGCGGGCUGGUGCCUUGGGGACGAUGCACCGGAACAGGCUCGCGAAGAUGCGCACCUUGAUCUGCCCGCGCCGCGGUAUGGUCCGCCUCGCCGCCUCUUGCUGCUGCUGCCGCUCCAUCGUCGCUGCGGGUGGGUUCUUGCUCACGAAGGCACGGGAGUCUGGGGACUGGAGAGCCGUGUGGCUUGUGUCGUGUUGUGUCUGAUGUCAGAGUGAGUGAGUGACAGGGGGCAGGCGGAGGCUUUGCCGUUUUAUAGCCGCAGAGUGCAGAUGAGAUGCAGGGGAUGCUGGGGCCUGGGGGCUUGGGAUCGGGAAGAGUGGGGGCCAAGCUUACUUGGCGAGCAAGGAGCUCCUCACUGAAGUUCGAAAACAUCUAGAACACCUGUGGGCUUGCCCCUUCCACUACAGCUCUGGGCCAAGCUUAAGGCCUUGUUUAGUUCACUCAAAAAUCAAAAAAUUUUCAAAAUUCUUCGUCACAUCGAAUCUUAGAGUACAUGCAUGAAGCAUUAGAUAUAAAUAAAAACAAAAACUAAUUAUACAGUUUGCCUGUAAAUCAUGAUAUGAAUCUUUUGAGCCUAGUUAGUCUAUGAUUGUAUAAUAUUUGUAAAAUAAAAACGAAAAUACUACAGUACCGAAAUCCGAAAUCUUUUAGAAACUAAACAAGGUCUAAGUCUCAGUCUCAGGCCUUGUUUAGUUCCAAUUUUUUUUGGAAAAAUAACACUGUAGCAUUUUUGUUUUUAUUUGAUAAACAUUGUUCAAUCAUGGAGUAACUAGGUUUAAAAAAUCCGCCUCACGAUUUACAGACAAACUGUGUAAUUAGUUUUUAUUUUUAUCUAUAUUUAACACUUCAUAUAUGUGCCACAAGAUUCGAUGUGACAGAAAAUCUUGAAAAGUUUUUGGUUUUUGGUGGGAGCUAAACAAGGCCUCAGUUCUCUGUCGGGCAAGACUCUGUCUUGUACUCCUACUGUUCAGUUCAUAAAGACUCUAUCAAAAACCAAAAAAUUUUCAAGAUUCUCUGUCACAUCGAAUCUUACGGCACAUAGAUGAAACAUUAAACAUAGACGAAAAUAAAAACUAAUUAUACAGUUUGGCUGUAAAUCGUGAGACGAAUCUUUUAACCCUAGUUAGUAUAUAAUUGGACAAUAUUUGUCACAAACAAACAAAAAUACUAUAGUAGCGAAAUCCAAAAAGUUUUCAUAUAAACAAGACCAAAGACUCCGUCUUGUAGUAGCGUGCUGCUUGGCCCCUGCUAAACUUCCAUGGUAUCUGGAUGCACUGUCAAGUGACAGCUGUACAAUGUGAAGGAUAAAUAACAAAAGUACUACUAGUAUGGGAAAUACUCAGCCACCUCUGCUGGUUACCAGCGACCGAAUCAGUUUUACAAUAACAAUGGCAACCAGCCAGACUGGUGUUUCAGUGUUUCGGUCGAGUAGUCACAAAGCUGAUCUGAAAAAUGUUGGAUUACGACUGGCGACUGGCUAGAUUCUGCGAUCAGCAAUCCAGCUGCCUUGCCAUUGAAAAUUAUGCCCUUAUCUGGCUGUCCAAUUGCCCAUGGUGAUUGUACAUGGUCUAAGCAUUAAUCAAUAUCUAGAAAUGGGAUUUGGUCUCCAAACAAGAACAGAUGGGCCAAAGUUGUUAGAAGAAAUUAUUUGUAAUCCAGAGAGCAGUUGACUUUAAUGACAUACUACCCCUGUGGCCAACCUAUUCCGUUCACACAGGGCGAGGAAGUCUUGGUCAUCGGCAUGGACCAAUUUUCUGUUUGCUACUGUCUAGAAUCCAAGGCAAAUGCAAGAGCAACAAAAGCAAGAGACAAAAAUAACUAUCACGGUAAUGAUUCAUAAAAAAACAUUGUAACUUAUAAGUUCUGCACUGUUCUUUUUCAUCUGAAAUGUAAACAUUUUUUUAUUAGUGAAGGACUGAAGAUAGCACAUAAACAACUCCAGAUGCUCUAAACAGCCUGGUAUCUUAAGAAUGCUAAAAUUAUGGUUUGUAAUUUCAGAACCGAACCAAUCUCUUUUUUAUUAGACCGACACUGCAACAACCCACAAGAGUCAAAACUUGGAAACUGUUCAAGCCUGAAGGAUGAGAAGUCUGAAGUUUGACUUGAUCCAAGAUGCUGCAUAUAAAGAUGUAACGAUCAAAUUCUUCAAUAUAAUGUGAGAGCUCAGAAAUGCUAUUUUAGAAUUGCACUUCCUCUAUAUGUUAUAUAUUCAAAACAAGAUGUUAAAAGCACACUAUCCUGAUGCCUCCAACACAGCAACACAAGAGACAUAAGCCAAUUAAUUAGGGCUAGGAAACAAGGUUAGUUAGAUAGCUUUACAUCUAAGCAAGAUUCCUGUCUGCCUAGGGCUUAUUAUUGUAUGAAGACAAUGAUCUGUCUUUUUUGACUUGAAUUUGUCUGUAACAAGAAACAUGAUUCUCAUGUGUACAUCAGUCUCCCAUUGAUACUUUCCACAUGUCCACUUGCCCAAUAGUCCUAACACUACAAACUACAGUUCACUGUUAAUACAGCUAAUAUUCGAUGAUCACACAUUGUAGUUGCUGAGAAGUGAGACCAUGCACAGAAAUUACAUCAGGAGUAUCAACAUGUAUUAUGAAUUAUGAUUUAGUAUUGAAUACCGACCAACAUAUUAUUCUACCUGACUCAAAUAUAUUUCAUCGUUAUAAUGGAGGAAUAAAGACUCAGUAUACAAGUGAAGAAAACCUCCGGAAUGGAAUGGAUGUGGUGUUAUAUACUACUUGAUUGCACUUGAAGCAAUACUACUAUAGUUGGUGUAGUAGUAGUACUAUAUUGAAACAAUACAGACUUCCCAUUUGAAAUAUUGAUUUACAGCUCACAUACUAGCUGCCACUUCUGCAGUUACUUGGGAGGAACAACUAGUGUAUAGAUUAGUAAUGUCAAGACGAUGAUAAUCGCCCCUACCAAGGUAAACUGGGGACUUGUCCACAGCAUCAAGUAAGAUCUUUCAGUUCUCUUGAUUGGAUCAACUUCUUCUGACAAUGGAUACUCACUGCGCCGUGGGUUCCAGGUCACAUACUUGUCUGGUGAGAAAUCAGAAAAGAGCUUCCCUUUCUUCUUAAACGUAGCCCAUGCGUUGUCCCAGUCAGCAGAGGUUUUCACCUGAUGAGUAAGAGAAGACACGUUUGUUGCUACCUUCAUAACAGUAUCUAAAAUAAACUAACUAUGAACAAAUAAGAAGUGCAGAUUUUUUCUUGUUUAUAAAGGAAGGCUGGAAUGUGUGCCAUGCAUCUUAAUAAAAAAGGAAAGCGAGAAGUCUAAAAGUUAUGGUCACAUCAGAAGAUCUAAACGACGAUCAAAAUCUAUACAAAAGGUGUAACCUCCUAAUGCUAACUUUCUUUCAGCAAUAUCCUCCCUGAUGAAGUAGUGGAUGCUAUCUAGUUGUCAGAUUUGAUUUUUGAAACACUUUAUGGUUUGGUUUAUUCCAACAGUUUCACAAUUUGUAGACAAGGAUGCCAGUCACUUCCUUACUCCUUUCCGCUGGAACUAACACUAGAAUCCACUACCACUUCUCUAGGAGGCCUUUUGCAAUUGCAGACUAGAGCUACAGUUAGCUAUGUACAUCCAGUUAAAUUUUGUCCAAACAUCCUGUGCAAAGGAACAAUAUGAAGUAAUAUCCUUUGUGUUUUCAGGUUGUUGGGAACAAAAUUUGCGAAUUAGAAUGGUGUUCCGUCCUAUCCUUGCAAGCUAUCUGUGGUUAGAAUUUUGUUUUGCAGGCGAGCCCCAAGUCAUCUUCUAAUAUUUUAUUAUAUGCUUGCUGUACAUAGGAGUUGGUAUUGGCAAUUUUUCAAGAUACAGCAAUAUAGCUAACCUUCUAUGCAGAGCAAAGGGAAGGAGACAUGCACUCAUUUCUUUUUUUUUUCUGUUUUCCUUCAGGAGGGACUUGCAAAUAACAUUUUUAAAAUACUAUUUUAUCAAUACAUAAAACAUUAGGAUACUAGUUUGCUCUUCUAUUAUUUUCCCUCCAGAAGAGAACAAGUUGCAUUGCAUGAUAUUGAUACCAGUGUUCUGCUAAUGCAUUUCCCCAUUUAUCCAUUCUAUCAUCUUAUAGCUUCAACAUUAACAUUAAACCUAUUAGGCUCUGUUUCAAAAGCCUAUGUUUUCUUCUCCUGGAUACAACAGUUAGUUGAAAGUAUUUUUUAAAGCUACCAUGGUAUAAUCUUAACUUAAUUAGCAAGGGCUCCUCUAACAAAUUAGAUUCGAUAGGCAGUAUAACAACAAAAUUCUGACAAUAUAAGCGGGUUCUCAGAUCGUGCAUGACCUUGUAUCAUAAUGUAGAACAGACUUUUUAAAAAGAACUGUAAGACAGAAAUUCAUAAUUCAUCACCAACUAUCCACCAAAGCAAAUGCAUGGAUAAGCAGUAUCAAAGCCAAAUAUUGACCACCCCGAGUCCAGUGAUUCGUAACUUUUUGGCAUAAAUGGAUUACGUAUAUGAAAAAAUAAAACAAACUUGAGUGUGGAGAUCUCUAGAAGGCUGAAACACUGCUUUCUCUUCUUCGAAACGAUCAUAGUUCUGACAAUUGAAAAACAGAGAGAAGGUUUCCAGUAUGGUGAAGGAAAGUUUGCAGCGUGUCAAAGACCAAACAUGGACUAAAAAUUGGCUACAAUUAGUCUGGACCUAACUACUGGAUUGUGCACUGUAAACCUCACUCAGAGAGGCAAAUGUAUACACACGUUGGCUUACGGUCACAGACAACCCCUCGCGAUCAAGUAAACAGAUCAGAUCAACCUAAACGAGGAAAGCAGGCAGUUGCAUCCUGAAUUCCUGAUGUGAUGACUGGGCAAUUUAAACCGUACUAUAUCUCACUGGAGUAGCCAUACUCACGCUUCAAUGACAAUGCCUGACCGACAUCGGCACUAAGGCCUUGUUUAGUUCACCCUGAAAACCAAAAAGUUUUCAAGAUUUCCCGUCACAUCGAAUCUUGUGGCACAUGCAUGAAACAUUAAAUAUAGACGAAAUUACAAACUAAUUACACAGUUUAGCUGUAAAUCACGAGACGAAUCUUUUAAUCCUAGUUAGUCCAUGAUUGGAUAAUAUUUGUCACAAACGAAAGCGAAAGUGCUACAGUACCGAAAACUUUUCACUUUUCGGAACUAAACAAGGCCUAAACAAGCAAUCCAGUGUGGCAUUUUACCAAACACCUAACGGUGGCAGCAAGGAACUUGACAGCCAUGACCUAUCAGAUCGCUUACCUUUAUCGCUGCCGCUUUUGUCCGGGGAGCCUCGAGAGCAGCGAGGGACGAGCACGAGUGGAGUCCGUCGCGCCAAGAAUCUCUCAGAACCUAGCAGUAUAUCCAUGCCUGCCAAGAUUUUAUCAACCUGGCAGGACUCCCGAUCGGAGAUUCUUUUUUCACUCCUUUAUUCCUAUUCCUUUCGCCUCGCGGAUUCUUUUCCUCUUAUCCCGGUUGCAGGGGAGACUGGUGGCGGAGAAGGCGUAGCAGGGGACCUGAGACAGCGAGAGGAGCAGGGUGCGCACUUGCACUUGCGCUUGCGUGAAAGAAAGGAGCCAGACGAGUCAAACUGCACUGCCGCAGCUCGCAGUGUGUGGCUCUCGCUGUGUACGAGAGAACCGUCCGUUACGCCUUUGGGUAAGGCCAGCGCAAGGAAAACUGCAGUCCGUUGUUUUUCAAAUGGGAAGGUAUGAAGCUGUGAAAGUCUGCUAAAAUUUUGCAACAUUAGUUGUCUUGCUCGAAAUUUCUUUGAUCCACAUCCAUUUACUAACAGCAUAUCAUCAUGUUAGAACCAAAUAAGUCCUUAGUUGCUAACCAUCCCCUUCCUGGUUACACGCCUCGAACAUUCUAACACAGUAAUAUAGGAUAUUCCAAACUCCAUAAUUAUUCUAAUUUAUCUGUGCCAUUUAAAAUUAUAACAGAACCUAAAAGCUACCCAUGUAGCCAUGUUUAACUUUGAAUUUAAUAACUUAAUAGUAGCUUUGAAUUUCAAUCCAAUAUCAUAUAGAAAGAUAAAUAUAUCAUAAUUCACGAAAAAGUGUCUUUUGCACACCAACAAAAGCACCCUGGGAAUCCAACCGUGUCUGGCUUGCCACAGGAGUGAACCUGGGUGUGAGAGACUGGAAGCGGAGGGCGGGCGCACGUCUGCGAGAGAGCAAACACACUAAACGUUGAUCGUCAAAUUUGGUUGAGUAAUAAGGAGAAAGAAUAUUUGAGAGAUGACCUGGUACCUCUGUUUCUAUGAUGUUACAUUUUCUAGAUGCAUUUGGUUGUGUGAACGAAGUAAAGAUCAUCUUCGUGGAGCAGACAAUAGCGAAAUAGAUCUAAAAUAAUUCUAACCGGUGGUUUAUUAGGGGUAGAGAUAUCACUUUCACCUUACAACUGAGAAUUCAAACAUAAAAAUUUAAGAAAGUUUAGAAAGUAAUAUAUGGACUUAUGCUUGAAAGUUUCAACAACAGAACAACUUUUACCAGACAUCCAUAAAAUAUGACAUGAAAAUGUCAUAUAAAAUCACCUAUUGCUAGCUACUUUGUUUAGAUCCGAUUUUUUUUGGAUUUUGACACCGUAGCUCUUUCCUUUUUAUUGACAAACAUUAUCCAAUCAUGGAGUAAUUAAGUUUAAAAAAUUCGUCUCGCGAUUUACGACAAACUGUGCAAUUAGUUUUUAUUUUAAUCUAUAUUUAAUAUUCCAUGCAUUUGCCGCAAAGUUCGAUGUGAUGAGAAAUUUUAAAAAGUUUUUAGUUUUUUGGGGUGAACUAAACAAGGCCUUAGUUUAUUUAUUGGUUGUUGUAUCGCUUUGCCCAAUGAAGAUUCUAAGGCCUUGUUUAGUUCCAAAAAAAUUUGUAAAAUUUUUCAGAUUCUCCGUCACAUCGAAUCUUUAGACAUAUGCAUGAAGUAUUACAUAUAGACGAAAAUAAAAACUAAUUGCAUAGUUUGGUCGGAAUUGACGAGACGAAUCUUUAAGUCUAGUUAGUCUAUCAUUGAACAAUAUUUGUCAAAUACAAACGAAAGUGCUACAGUGUCGAUUUCCUAAAAAAAUUGGAACUAAACAAGGCCUAAGCGAGAUUAUAUGUGUUUGGUUUCCUUGCUCGGGCACUUCGAAGUUCGUGUAGUCGAUAUUUCGCUUGCUCACAUCACCUGACGGACGAGUUUCUCGUUGCUCAUACCAGCUAGGUGACUAGUAAGAUAGGACCAAGACCAACACAUGCUUUUGUCAAAAAAAAAAAAAAAGACCAACACAUGCCUUAUGUCUAUCUGGACGACGCCGAGAGACACCACGCGCGAGGCUGCAGCUACACCAAAAGUUGACGAUCAAUUUAUCUACCACAAAUUCGACGAGUGGUGACGUGAAAAGUGAAUUGCAUUUUGCUAGUAUGGUGCCAAAGCUCUAGAAAUGAACCAAACAUUAACCAAAACUGCGGCAUGGCCUUGACCAUCUGUUCUCUUUUAUCUAUUAUUUUUUUAUUACUACUUCUAUAAAAAAUAUUUCUAGAUAUAUUUGGAAUUAAGUUAUUUUAAAUCCGAGUAAAGUUUUUUUUUUAAAAAAAUAUUAUCAACUCCACUCCACACAGUCAGCUUUCCUAUCCAAACUAAUAAAAUCCGCGCCACCCAAAAAAACCCACCACGCUUCCAUCUCCACUCCCCACUCCCACAGUCCCGCUCCCCCGCCAUGGCCUUGGCCAUGACCUCCUCGUCCCCGCAGCCACCGUCCCCUUCCCACCGCCGCCGUCGUCGCUCGCAACCCGCCACCCCCACCCCCAAUGCCAACCCCAAACCUAAACCCAAACCCAGGGCAAAGGCCCUCCCCCUCCUCUCCGACGUCGGCGUCGGCCGCGACCCCGCCGCCAUCAAGUACUACGCCCGGGUCGCAUCCAACCUCGCGGGCGCCGGCCGCCUCCGCGAUUUCCUCCUCGCGGCCGAGGGCCUCCGCGCAGCCGCGGGCGACGACCCCAGCUUCGCGGCGCGCAUCAGCGCCCGUCUCCUGUCGCGCGGCGUCGCCGCCGCUGUCCGAGAGCGCGGACUGCCCUUCGUGCUCGAGUUCUUCCGAGACGCCGAGCGUGUGCGCGUCCCCGCAGUCGAGAUGCUCGACGCCGACGCGUCCGACACUGUCGCCGGCGCCUGCCGGAUGUUGCUGGAGGAGCGACGAAUGGUGGAGUUCGUGGAGGUCGUCGAGGCGCUAGCUCGUAAUAUUGCCCCCCAAUCUCUUCAUGUCUAUGCUGCAGUUAGAGUUUCCCCCUAUAUCAUAAUGUUGGCGUGAAGUCUAUGCUUCAGCUAGUUGAUUCACCUACCUUGGUUGGUGCAUUAAUCGCGAUUGCCAAUUGGUUCGCUAAUGUAGCUUUAUGCACUGAUGAUCACGUGCUUACCAUGUUCUUAGACGUGCCUCAGGGUGGAUGUGGAUCUCUCAAAUUUCUAAUCAGUAGCAGUAGUUUUCAUGCUAGAUGCAUCAAUCUCUUUAGUUUAUUGAAUGGUUUAGUAGUUUUCAUGCACGAAUUGGCAUGUCAGUAUUAAGACUGCAGUUAGGAUGCUAAUUUCAGUAAGAUAAUCGAUCUGUUUGAUAUCAUCAGCUAGCAGUUGACUUAUGGUUUCUACCUGGUUAUGAGACAAUACAUCUCAUUUUUGUUGUGCAGGAUGUCCUUUUUUUAUGUACAUAUUGCAUAAAUCCUGCUUUAAAUGUAAGCAUGUGCCCUUGUCUUUUUAGUUUCUUUCAGAACUUAUUAGAACUUGGCAGCACUACUGCUAACGAUAAACAUGUUGUGAUUCUUAAUGACUUGGACAUGCAGACUAACAAUCAGCAGCUAUUUGCUUGCUAUACAAUGCUGUUUAUGUUCUAGAAGUUGAUUAUUGCACAAUGUAUCGUUGGCAUAAUUACCGAUGAGGUGCAUUGGUCUGCAUGUUACCAACAUACUAUUUUCUUGUAUUUUGUUUGCAGAAAGUUUUCAUUGCUGUACAUCCUGUGUAGUUGGCAACACUCUUCAUGUGUGCUCCCUCCAUUCCAAACUAUAAGACGUUUUGGGUUUACUAAAUACAUAGCUUUUGCUAUGCACUUAGAUAUACACUAUGUCUAGAUACAUAGUAAAAUCAAUAUAUCUAGAAAAACAAAAACAUCUUAUAAUUUGGAAUGGAGGGAAUACCUUUUUUUUGGCUAUCAAUUCUCCCCUACCCAUGCUUUAGAUGACAAUUCAUUAAAUCUUAAAUUGUUGUUAAUGUUUUGCUUUGAUCUAUUAUUUUUUUUAGGGUAUGGAUUCUAUGUUCAAGGCAUUGUUAACCCCAUGGAUGUACUGAAAAUAUUUGUCAAGCAGCGUAACCCAGAUAUAGCUAUAAGGUGGUCAUACUUAUCACAUCUUUAUUUAACAUGUCUUGAAUUCUAUCAACUAAAUAUAUGACGAUUACUUCAAGGAUGUUAGUGUUAGCAUGGCAUGUUUCUUGCUGGAGAUUUAAGCUUUAUGCACUACGUGGAUUUCAACCUUGGAUCAUACUCUUGGGAUUUGACGAUUUGUUAAAAUUUCAUACUCUUUCCAUUAAUCUUGAUACCUGCAAUGCAUUGUUUUUUUGACAUGUAGGUAUGCACGCAUAUUUCCUAAUUCCCAACUUUUACUCUGCAAUACCAUGGAAGCUUUUGGAAAAAGAAAGGAGUUGAAAAAUGCUUUAUUGGUCUUUGGAGCCCUUAAGGACCAGCUUGGAGGCAUCAAUAUGUUUGCAUGCCGAAGUAUAAUAGAUAUAUGUGGCCAUUGUGGCUCUUCUGUACAGGCUCGUAUUAUAUUUGAGGUACUCGAUAUCCCUCAUUGACUACAGUUAAUUUAAUUGUUAGCUGAGUUUGCUUCUUUACAUUUGUAGAUAUAUUCAUUGAAUUUCUAUUGAAUUAGAAAUAGGUUAAGUUUAGAGAGUUUUGUAUAUUUAAAGUUAAUAAGGUGUCUCUAAAAGGGAUAACUUAGUCAUUGCCAAUUAUGAAAAUCAAAUUAAAUCCCUUAUUCGUUAAAGUUCUCCCUCUCUCUCUCUCUCUCUCUCUCUCUCUCUCUCUCUCUCUGUAAGAGGAAAGAGGAAUACACAAAUUUUAUCCAACUAAGCUACCUUCUGUUCACCUGCUGUAGACAGGUACUCUAAUACUCAGGCGGUUCCAGACUUCACUCAUAUAUUAUACAUGUGAAUCAUAUGCAGGGGCUGCUUGCUGAUAAGAUUACUCCAAAUACCUACGUCUUCAACAGCCUAAUGAAUGUUAAUGCCUAUAGCUUGAGCUACAACUUUUCAGUCUACAAGCAUAUGCAAGUAAUGCAUCUUCUACCUUAUUGUUGCUGUUCAUAGGUAGGUUGUUUUAGCUUCAUGCAAAUCGAUUCUGUUGCAUCACAUUUUGCCUUUUUUGUGCCAGCCUAUUGGAACUAGUUCUUCUAAUUUGCUAUGUUCUGCCCAAUUUCUGUUUGCUAUUCCAUGCUUGUUCAUGUUAUUUUUAAUUGUAUUCACUAAAACAAUAUUUACACUGUGUGUUUGGUUGUUUCUUUGAUUUACUUUUCCUUCAUUCAUGGCCGAAUAUGUUCUAUAAUCUUAUGCACAGCACAGGUGCACAGUGACCAUAAGCUACUGUUUACACCAUUUUGUGUUUUUGCAGAAUCUCAGUGUCCCUCCUGAUUUGACUUCAUAUAAUAUUCUUCUGAAGACAUGCUGCAAUGCCAGAGAAUUCAACUUGGCUCAAGAAAUCUAUGAAGAAAUGAAGAAGAAGGAACGUAAUGGCCUUUUAAAGCUAGAUGUUUUCACAUAUAGUACAAUGAUCAAGGUAUGGGGGCUCUUGUUGUUGUUGUCCAUGCAUUAUGGCUUUUUAUGGUUUCCAGAAUUGUUUUCUCUUUAAAUUCCAGGUGUUUGCAGAUGCAAAAGUGUGGAAGAUGGCUUCCAACAUCAAAGAGGAUAUGCAAGUGAAUGGGAUUCGUCUUAACCUAGUAACAUGGUCAUCAUUAAUCAACGUUUAUGCAAAUUCUGGUCUGGUUGAUCGUGCAAUAGAGAUCCUUGAAGAAAUGAUAAGGGAUGGCUGCCAACCUACAGCCCCAUGCUUCAAUAUUAUCCUUACUGCUUGUGUCAAGUCAUGCCAAUACGAUAGAGCUUUCCGCUUGUUCUACAGUUGGAAGGAGUCUGGUAUCAAGAUAUCUCUAUCCCCUGAACAGAAGAGAGGUCUUGAUGGUGGCUUUACAUUCUGUAAAGAGUAUCCUAGUAGUGGCAGUACUAUAUUGGUGGUUCCAUUCAGGCCAACAGUCACAACCUAUAACAUCUUGAUGAAGGCUUGUGGUACUAAUGCAGAACGUGCAAAGUCUGUAAUGAACGAAAUGAGGCGGAAUGGCCUUUGUCCCGAUCUUAUUAGCUGGUCUAUACUCAUGGAUAUUUAUGGAACUUCUCAAAAUAGGGAUGGAGCUGUUCAGGUUUCACGCUUCAAAGUUUUAUGUAGAUAUCUUUUGCACAAUAUAAUCUGCUAUGACAUUUGGCCUUAUAUCAACUUUUGUGUCAACUAAAUAUGCCUUCCUUGUUUGCAUCCUGUUGAAGUAUUCCACUUUAUAAAACUUGAUAUACCUCUUGUGGACAUAGACACAAAGAACCAAUAGAUUAAAUAGACGACGGAAUAAGAUACUGAAUUAUUUUAUGAAUCCACUUAGCCUGUGGAAUUCUGGCUGCGAAUGAUCCUUAAUUUGCAUUCCAUGGUAAUUCACUUUCUCAGUAUCACAGUUGCAGAAGAUGUUCCUAUCUACUAUAUCGCAUGCCUUUCCAUUUUUCAGUACUGCCCUUAUACUGUUGACAAUGUUCAUGUGAUUUUUUUCAUCUGGAUAAACAUAAGAUGACACUUACUUAUUUCUUAAUGCGGAUUGCUAUGGUUUUAGAUUUUCCCAAAUAAAUAGUAAAUUAAUUAUUGCUAUCAUUUUCUUUUUGACAUAGGCACUAAGGAGAAUGCAGCGAGUUGGGAUGAGACUUAAUGUCUCUGCAUAUACUGUUGCUAUUAAGGUUGGUCACUGGACAGCACCUUUUACUUGGUUAAUGGGCACUUCUUUUUAUUUAUAGACUUAUGGUCUGCUAGUAAGCUUUUGCUACAAUGUCCUCCAGGCAUGUGUUGAAAACAAAGAUUUGAAGUUAGCACUGCACUUGUUUGAAGAAAUGAAAACACACCAACUGAAGCCCAAUUUGGUGAGUUUUAUCUAAAAUUUAGGUACAACGCUUUGAUGCUUUGCUUUUCCUUAACUAUAAGAUUUGAUGCUUCCUGAUGUAGCAUUUAUUGUUUGGUGCCUAUUGCUGACUGCUAAAUGCUUUGGAUGCAUGCAUAAUUUAUUGAUAUCAAGUUAUUUGGGUUGAUUAGUUGGAUAUCCUCUGCUGCUUGUUGAUGUUAGACAUUAUGAUAUGACACAUGCCAUAGUCAAUGGUUUGCUCUACAUCAACCUGCAAAAAUUCCAUCGAUGUAAAUUGCAUUUGACAUAGCAGUUCAUUUUCAGGUGACGUACAAAACUCUCCUGGCAGCACGCAGCAAUUAUGGAUCACUACUGGAGGUCCAGCAGUGUUUAGCAAUAUAUCAGGAAAUGAGGAAAGCAGGGUAUGUGACUAGAAUGAUAAUAUGCUGUUUCUUUGAUACUUUUGAAGUCAGUACAAGUGCUUUUUCCUCGACAGCUCUACUCUUUCGCAUUUUGACAGUAAUCUGUGAUUGCAUUAAAUAAAGAACAAAGGUUUAUUUGAUAUAAACGCUCCAGUGUAAAAUUCAUGGAACACACCAUAAAUAAUGGAAAACUAGAAGUGCUCCAAGAUACAGUUAUUUUGACAACAAACAGGUACCAGCAGAGGAUGUAAUCCACAGAAGCUUCAGUUGUUAUCUCAUGCCUAGGUGUCUACUGCUUCUAAUUCCACUAUUCCACUGUAGGAAACAUACUGACAGCCUAAUUUCCCAUUCUAGGUACCAGGCAAAUGACUAUUAUCUCAAGGAAUUAAUAAUGGAAUGGUGUGAAGGAGUUCUGUCUAGUCGCGGUGAUAAUCAAGAUUUUUACAAUUUGGACCUACAACCUAAGAGGAAAGAAUCGUUCAACCUGUUUCUUGAGAAAGUCGUAACAGUCUUGCAAAAAGAUACUGAUCAGAACCAAACUGUCGAUGUCCGUGGCCUUUCAAAGGUAAAUGACAUCCAACCAGUUCAAGUCAUGAUAUACAAAUGAUCUGCCACACGAACAUGAUGACUGAUUUUGAAUGAUGUGUGAUUUACAGACACCCCCCCCCCCCCCCCCCCCUUUUUUUUUGUUGCUUACCAUAAUCCCAUGCAUUCUGCAGGUUGAAGCUCGAAUUGUUGUUCUCUCUGUUCUUCGGAAGAUCAAAGAGCAAUACCUCCUGGGUAAUGUUGAGCUGUCACUUCCUUUUGUAUUACAAUAAAAACCAUAGAUGCUAAGCCUCUAUUUUGAUGCCCCAAUGCCUUUCGAAACAUUGAUCAGGAAGAGUGGUCCAGGACGAUGUGGUUAUCAUCACAGGUCAUGAGAAGACAUCAAGAACUGAAGCUGAAACUAAUGCAGUUGACGUCGUGCAGGCAAUAGUUACUGUUUUGACGACUGAUCUGGGUCUUGAAGUUUUGAUUGGACCUGGAAGCUGCCCUCCUGUUUCAUCAAAACCCAAAGCAACGACUAAAUCUAGAAGUAAUUUAGAGCAAGUAUCCAAAGAAUUUACUAGGAGACCACAGGGAAUGAUAAAAAUCCCUCUCAACUCACUGAACCAUUGGUUGAAGAAGAAAGCUGUGAGGAUUGCAGAGUGACAUUUCCUUAAACUACCUUUUUGGUCCAUUUAGUAUACCAGUAAAUUAGCACAGUUAUUCCAGGAUUGGAUGUACAUAUGAAAACAGGUUACUGCUCCUGGUCAUGACACGACUUGAAAAAGGGAAUCGUUGGCAGGCAAUGGAGUCUCGACUAUUGUCCAGCACAUUCAGCAAGGGACUUCUGCAAAUUUAAUUGUAGUGUUUCUAAAGACACGAAGCUUGGACUUUCAUACUGUUAUAUAUCAAUUUCCAGUAAUCUCAUUCAAACCAGGUUAUCCCAUUUCCAUGUCAACAUGGAAGUAAUGAGCCCUACAGAAAUAGGAAACGAAACAACCGAAGUUCGACGAGAUAGGAGGCCCAACUGAUCUAAAUCACCUGUGUUAUGUAUCAAAUUCCAGUACAUAUCAUGUUUUCCAUGAAACAGUUCUCCAGCAGAAAUAAAAAUACCACAACAGCUGGUGUUCAAAUAUACAUGUGAUUAACUAGAUAACAAAGUCUUCACUCAUGCCAAUUUGGUUCUUGAAAAUACUGAGCGGGGGGCAUGAUCUUGGCUAACGAAAUUACUGAUAUCUGCAUGUACAAACACAAUAUCAGGUAUAACAACAGUCUUGGUUAACUCAUACUACAUAUGGCUGAACAAUCUGGAUCUCUAUCUUGCUAAUUUACUCAUGGGGAAGGGUGUGUGCUUGGUGAAAUGCACGUUCAAGACCGUAUCAAGCUCACUCAUCCAUUUCAAUUACUGCCCAGCAAUGGACAAAUAAACGCGGACAAGACCAAAGAUCUCGUACCUAGCAUCGGAGAGUUCUCAAAUCCAAUCCUGCUCCUGCAACUUGAGAGGCAGGUAGACCUCGGUGAGGUACUGGAACCCGAAGGAACUGAGGGCCUGUAUCUCAGCCUUUUGCUUGGUGCGCAGCAUCAUCUCCAACUCCUUCACCCAGCCCUCAUUCUGCUUCACAAAGUCUUCCUCGAGCAGCUCUUUCCCCACCUUGAUAUCGUGAUCGGUCAUGGGGAGACGGCACUGCUCCGGCACCCUGUACUUGUCCAGGUCGCUCGGCCGGACACCGAGCCACUUGAUGUCCGGCGUCGUGAGAUUGGCGCUGUCAUACGACAUGUUCUUCGAACCACACAUGUACACUGACAAGAUCUUGAGCCCGUAUGGAUCGGAGUCCACCAGCGCGAGCACUGGCAGCUUCAGCUCCACCUUGAGCCGCCGCAGGAACAGCCGGGUGGCGACAUCUGGCUGCCCCUUGGCCGUCAGAAUGAUGCAGGGGAAGCGGUUGUAGAACCUGUCCUCGGCAAGUCGCAUGAAUGCAGCGUCCUUCUCCACCAGGAGGAUGAAGAGCGCGUCGCUCUCGAUGCCCGAGACCCUGUCGACGUUGGGCGGUAUGGCCUUCCCGCCGACGCCCAUGCGCGUGCAGUCGAUCCGGUCCCCAUCGUCGGCGAAGACGAGGCGGCCCACGACGACGCCCUUCUCGGAGGCGACGACGUGGAGCGACGACCGGGUGCAUCCGAGCAUGCAGGAGACGUCGUCGAGGACGGCGUCAGACUGGGACUGGUCGCCGAAGAGCUUGACGUCGGUGUAGAAGAGGUCACGCUUGGUGACGUGGAUGCCCCUGCCGAGGACGGCGUGGACGAGGGAGAGGACGCGCGCCGUGAUGGUGGCCUUGCGCGCGGUGGCGACGUUGGCGAAGGGGCGCGCGGACUCGCGGCGGACGAGCACGAUGCGGUCGAGGUCCGGGAGGUAGACCUGGUUGGAGGCGGCGCGCGAGGGCACCGCGAAGGAGAAACCCCGGCCGGAGAGGAUGCUGCGCGCGGCUGCGAGGACGAGGCGGUUGAUGCGGGAGGUGACGGAGGCGGAGUCCUGGUCGGCCACCACGAUGUACGAGGAGGCGGGGUCCGCGGACAGGUCGAGGUCCGCGAGGGACUUGGAGGUGGCCUUGGAUUUGGAAGCCGAGGCAGAGGCGAGGGAGCGGAGGGUGGCGAGGAUGGAGGCGUCGGGGCGGAGCUUCGAGCGGAGGGACUCGGCGUAGGACGCGGCCGCGGAAGCGCGCGGCUUCUUGGAGCUGGAUGCGGCGCCGACCGCGCUCGCCCCGGCGCGGCGCUUUUUCUCCGACAUGGGGAGGGGCGAGAGGUGGGAGAGCGCGGUGGCGACGGCGGCGGGGCUUGAGCUCGAUCUCGAGCGCGGCUGCGAUUUGGUUUGUGGCUGGGGAGUGGGACUGUGGGAGGACCCGGAGGAGGGACCUGUCGGGCGCCGCGUCUCGGCUGGGCUAGUGGCCUAGUGGGCCGAAGAGCUUCUGGCCUCUGGGGGCCUUUCCAGUUUGCUCACAGGCUCGCGGGAUUUUUAACUUUUUUUUUCCCAUUGGCACUCCUCCGUUUGCCAACUUUAUGUGUGCUUCUACAUAUUUACCACCGCAUUCAGUUGAGCUGCUACGCUUUUACCACUCUCGCUGAUGUGGUAUGUCAGGUGGUGCUUCUAGCGUCGAACGGAGCCUGGGAGCCCUGUUUUGGCAUGACAAAUGACGCCGCUGCCCUCACCCUCUUCUUUUGUUGCGAGGCUGCCCUUUUCUUCCAGCGUUAGUCCUCAUGAAAAAGAGAAGGAGGAUUUCAAGAGCCUCGUCCCGCCGGGACGCUCCGAAGAGACGCCUCAGGAGCAGCGCCGACACCUGGCUCUUGAUGGCGCUGUCCAGGUUGGGGGACAUGGCUUCCUCCUCUUCUUGGUGCGCGCUCCGUGCGGGGUGGACAACGCCGUCAGGGAGGCUUUGUUUGGAUAGGCUUGGAUCGGCGUGGAUUGGUAUGGAUCCCGGUCUCGGAUGGAAACCAGCCCACACCGGAGUUUCAGCCCACGUGGAUGCAGAAUUGCGGAUUUGGCUGACGCCGGGUUGGAGCCAAACCCGCUCGAACCACGUCAAUCCAAGGGAGAAAGAAAUAUCCUCACCCGAGGCCGGGACUUUGCUCCCUCCUCGCGACUCUGCCAGCGCUCCCGCAGCACGCGACUCCGCCACCGCUCCCGACUCGCCGGCGAGGGCAACACCACCGCUCGCACUUGAAAAAGGUAUGUUCUCCGCCGCCUCCAAUUCUCGGUGGACUCAUCCCCUCCUCCCUCCCCUUCUACUCAGCCGGUUUCCCUUGUUAGGGUUUCAGUACACCGCGGCGGCCGACGAGCCGGCUCCCUUCUCCCCCUGUCGGCAACCGAGACCGGCGGUGGCCGGUGGAUCAGGUGCGCCUCCACCAGCCCACGUCCCCCAUCUCCUCCUUCCAAUCCCUUUCCCUUUUCCUCAUCUCUUUUCUUACUAGGGUUGGAGUCAGAUCGAGACGGCGGCAAGAUCCUGGGGUCUCCAAGAUCGUGAGGUGCUACCACGUCCCCCAUCUCCUCCUUCUAAUCCCUUCCUCUGUUCCCUGCUCUGGUAAUUGGUAUACGUCUGCUGCGGGUGCCUUGCGAGUAGUAUGGUUGGAUGAUAAUAUGUUGUUUUGCUGCUGGUUACCUCAAAAGUUGUCCCCUACAAUUGUUUGGAUUUUUGGUUUUGUGGGACGGAGUAAUUUUUGGGUUGAAAUUUGACGCCAAUUUCACUUCUUCCCAAUUGAAAAUAGUGAAAGACCCAUCUGUACUUCCAGUUUAGUUGCUAUGUUGUUGGCUCUCUUUGUUGGUUACUGCAGCAAUUGAUGGUAAUAGACGUUCAACUUUCUAGUCUGUAUUAUGAUUCAAUUGAGUUAACACUACCGUGGAUGAUGCAAUUGAUUCAUGACCUCCUGGUCCUGUCUAGUGUCUAGGUAAGCUGACAGUUGUGCCUUCCUGAUAGUUUGGACAUUUGUUUUGUGCUAGUAGUUUCACCGUGCUAUACUUAUUCUUUGCUUGGAUAUGCAUCUGUGCCUAUCUGAGUAGAAAGGAGGGCCUCCCUCUUGCCCCAUAUUUGGCAGUUUGGGCCUUUUUCUGUUGAACUUUCAGAUGUGUCCUGUGCAGUGCUUUCACAUGCUUAGCACUGAAGAAUUCAUUUUUGAGUGGAACCCAUUUAUCUCUCUGAUUUUAAAGUUAGCAUAUCGUUUCUGUAGAAGGUACAAUCUAUUUGAGAACAUUUUAGUUUUUAGAUUCGCAGAUGAAAAUAAAUAUCUAUUUGAGAGGAAGCAAUGUUUUGAUGUCUUAGAAAAUUUUUGUCAAUUACACUGAAUGAAACCUAAUGCACUUGGGAAAAAUAAUGGGUUUCACUUAUGGAAAAUAAUGCUCGAGGUUAUCUUUUAUCCAUCUUAAAAUUUCAGAUGUGUGAUAACUUGUUUCUAUUCAUGUGUUUUGGUAGAUUAUCGGUAGCUUCUCCUUUCUCCUUUUUUUGUGAUGCCUUCUUUCAGAAUCAUAGAUUCAGUUUCCUUCUUGUGUGAUGCCUUCUAAUGAACUACAUGGUUUCAUCAUUGUAUUAGUUAUGGAUGCUCUAGCUAAGAAAAGAAGGGAUGAUGAUGAUGAUGAGAUUAUGCUUUUCCUUCUACCUGCUUUGUAUCUAUUGGGUAGUACAAGGGAGCCCCGACAAAAAAUACCUAGGCAUACAUCAAGGUUGUCCGGAAAGGAGCGUCUUGAAGAAGUACUCAAUGGACAUGUGAAAGAUUGUUGUGUUGCCUUUCGUAUGGAGCCUAACAUCUUCAGAGCCAUUGCAACCUAUCUUAGAGAUGAGCAUUUGUUACGGGACACUAGGGGUAUUAGAGUCGAGGAGCAGUUUGCGUUCUUCAUGUAUAUGCUGUCUCACAAUGCAAGCUAUGAGGAUAUGCAGUAUCAAUUCAAACAUAGUGGAGAAACCAUCCAUCGGCACAUUAAGUCAAUCUUCAACAUAAUCCAAAAUCUUACUUGUAAGUUUGUGAAACCUAUAGUGGCAACUGAAACUCAUUGGAAAAUCAGCACAGACCCUAGGUUCUUCCCUUACUUUAAGGUGAAUCAAUUAUGACUCUCUACUUAGCCAUAUACACCUCUUUUCCUUACUUAUAUAUAUAGCUAACAUACACACUUCACUCUUUCAGAAUUGCCUCGGUGCCAUUGAUGGGACCCAUAUUCCUAUUACCAUCUCUCAAGACAAGCAAGCUCCAUAUAGGAAUAGAAAGGGCACACUUAGCCAAAAUAUCAUGUUGGCUUGUGAUUUCGAUUUGAACUUCACCUUCAUCUCAUCAGGUUGGGAAGGGUCUGCAACUGAUGCAAGGGUCCUUAGGUCUGCUUUGCUUCAUGGUUUUCGUGUACCUGAGGGCAAAUUUUUCCUCGUCGAUGGUGGCUAUGCUAACACUCCAUCAUUCAUUGCUCCUUAUCGUGGUGUAAGGUACCACUUGAAGGAGUUUGGGCAUGGUCACCAACGACCAAGAAAUUACAAGGAACUGUUUAAUCAUCGUCAUGCUGUUUUGAGGAAUCAUAUAGAGAGAGCAAUUGGAGUUCUAAAGAAGCGUUUUCCUAUUUUAAAAGUAGGAACCUUACAUCCUAUCAAGAACCAAGUGAAGAUACCAGCUGCUGCUGUGGUGUUCCAUAAUCUUAUCCGUAUGCACAAUGGAGAUGAAGGGUGGUUGACGAACCAGCCGGAUAACAUCCUUCCUAGUAGUUUUAUCGAUGUCCCUGAAGGGGACAAUACAUACAAUAAUGAUGUGCCAUCAUUUAGUAGCCAAAUAGAAAAUGGAAAUUCCCAAAGAGAUGCAAUUGCAUUGAGUAUGUGGGCAGAUUAUACCCACAACCACUCAUGAUGCGUAUGUAAUUUUAUUUCAGCCCUAUGUAAGAGUUUCCCAUGUGUAAUACUGGAUGCUUGUUUCAGUCAUUUGUAUGGAUGAUUAUGUAAUGGUUUAUUUGUCCACCUAUUUAAUUUUCAUCUUGACUAUAAGCUGUUGUUGUUGUGAUGCCAUCUGCUUAUGUAAUGGUCUAUAUACUCUCACUCAACUAAAGCAGGAAUCAAAGCUAUGCUUGGAAGGGGCUCUCCUAAGUUGCAUCUAAUGCAAGCUGCAUCUUUAAAGAAGAAGAGACCAUCACCUAAAGCAAGUGGAAAAGGUAAUUAGCCAUAUAGUUUAGUUGAGAUUGUUGCACUGUCUUGCAUGCACCUUUUGUAAUAUCUUCAUGUAAAGUGAUGACCUUGUACAUGUGCAGUGGACCGCUCAAGAGCGCAUUGGAAUUUAGGACUUGAAAAAGCAUUGGUUGAGUUGCUCCAUGACUACAACAAUGAUUGCUAUAGGGGGCAAAAUGGAUGGUCUACAGAUGCAUGGAAUAGAAUAGUGAAAUCUUUCCAUCAGAACUUCAAGCAUGUCUCAUUUUCCAGGCAACAGAUUCAGGACAAGGAGAAGGAACUUAAGAGGGAAUAUCGGAUGCUCAAAGAAGCGAGGCAGCAAAGUGGGGCAUCAUGGGAUGAUAAGCUGUGCAUGAUUGUGGCUGAUCCACCUGUCUGGGCAAACAUCAUCACAGUAAUUUCUAAAAAUACUUUUCUGUUACCUCCAAAUUAUGUUACUGCUGCUGUUAUUUUGCCACUUAUAUCUCUAAAAUAUGUUGAAUUUCAAUUUUAACAGUCACAUCCAAAGGCUGCCAAGUUCCAGUCCAAGCCUUUUCCUCUAUUUGAGAGAUUAGGAGAGUUAUAUGAUGGCCACACAGCUGAGGGAUCUUUGAACAUGACAUCUCUUGCUGACCCAACACCAUCUGAGCCAAGUAUCACACAAAUGAGUGGUGGUGACGGAUUACAAGCUGAAGAAUUUGAAUCCCCACUGGUGCCUCUUCAUGAUGAGGAUGAUGUGAUGAUAUUAGACCAGCCCAGUAGACCUACUGCAACAAGAAAAGCAAAUGCUCCUGCUGUCCCUAAUGGAGGAAAUAAGGUUCAGAAAAGGCAGAUGGAAGCUGCUAUCUCUCAUGGAGGAAAGAGGGUUCAGAAAAGGCAGAAGGAAGCUGAAGUAGCUCACAUGAUGGAGAAGUAUCUGGAAGUAAAAACUAAGCAAGUUGAAGGUGAGGUUGCAGAGAAAUCAAGGGCAGGAUCAGGAGCGGAUGAGUACUCCAUCAAGCAAUGCAUUAGUGUCAUCAGCACCAUGGUAGAACUCACCGGCGAAGAAAAGGCUGAAGCCUUUGAUAUUUUCAAAGAUGCUCAGAACCGGGAAAUCUUCAUGAAUGCAGAUUCACCAACACGUCUGAUUUGGAUAAGGAAGAAAUGGUUAGUUUUUUAGUUGUCUUUGAGUUUGCUGACAUCUUUUAAUUACUUUGAAGAACUCACUAGAAAACUUUUGCUUUGAACCAGUAUGCAGACAUGAGGGAAACAAUAUUGAGUUUUGAGUGAGAGGUUAGUCUUUGUUUUUAUCCAGUAAGAGCUUAGACAGUUAAGACAUUAUUUUUAUGAAUUAUUGUGAGAUGUUUAACCACUGAAUUUCUAAGCUAUCCAAAUCCAAAUAGUUCAUAUAUUGUUGAUAGCAGUAGGUUGAGAUGUCUCCUACCUUGCAAGCUGCUGCACUGAAUAUAUUAUUGAUAGUUCCCCUAUCCUUCAUCUGUUUUGUAGUAGUUCAAAGUUUAGACCAAUUCUUGUAGAGUUUCAUGGCAAGAUUGCCCCGGCCAUUGCAUUUGUUUUGUAGUAGUUCAUCUCAGUGGCAGUAGAUGAUUACUAUUUCACCUACUAGCUAAUUUCAGUCUCUAAUGAAAUUGAAGAAACAGUACUACUGCAGAUUAGGCCUAAACUUGUCCUUUUAUAUCAUUAAAACUUUAACUAUGUUGUAUCACUAAAAUAUGCUCUCUCCAUUUUUAAUGUAAUCGGAUACUAUAGAUUUUUCUUAUGGUCAUGGAAAUAUGGCACUGACCUGGAAGCUAUUUUGUGUUUACUGUACACAAUUAUUGCUGAUUUGUUUGCUGCUUUGAGGUGUUUGCAGUGUUGAACUAGCCGUGCAGUAUAUAAUAGUCCAACAGAGUGAUUCAGAAAUUUUGUUCUUUGAGUUCUCUACUUGUUGCUCAUCUCCCUGGAGUCUUACAAAAAAACUUGGAAUUUUUCUUUCAGAGUAGUUUUCAGACUUUGCACAGUAUAUAAUAGUCACUGAUACAAGUGUACUUGACUUAAGCGCUGCCUCUCGUCAGCAAAUCUUUUAGCAAUACAAGUGUACUGACUGACUGUGAAAAACUUUGGAGAAUUGAAUGAUCAUAUAUUGUUUGUUCUUUCAGAGUAGUUUUCAGACUUUGUACAAUAGAGCUUGCUUUCAGUCUUCUGUUUCGUCAGUCUGGCGUUUGGUUCAGAGUUGUAAAAGUAUUCUUGCCUUGUUGCUCACCAAUGUCUAAAAGUAUGAAUACUUUGCUUGCAGGAAUAGAAGUGAAAGUGCACCUUUCGUUUCAAGUGCAAGUCUAAGUGGUUUCAGUUCAACUUCUUUCGGCACCGCUGGGAUGCUAGCAAUAUUUUAUUUAUUUAAGAAUCUUGAAAACAAAUGUCUUGUUUCCUAAAUUUGUGUAUGCAUGUGCAAGCCCUAGUUCAAUAUGCUGAUGGUCACGUCUUCCUUACUUAGCCGUGAGCUACUUCGAAACUUGGUGAAGAAUGUUCUGGUAUAUGACCAUGUGAUGUGAUUACAUUCGACAUAUUUUUUUUAUAAUGUUUCAAUCGUUGCUGCACCUUCCAAUACAUUUAUUUUUUAUUUUUUACUGAUGAAAAAUGGCUUCUCUUGCUCAUUUUCUGUUAUUUUUGAAUUUUAGACAUGGAUUUUGCUAGUAUUUUCUUGAAUUUUAGAGCUCGUUUUCUGAUUUUUGUGCUCUCCCAUGGUUCGGUUCUGAAUUCUAGAACACUACCAUUUUGAAUUAUGGUUAAAUAAUCAGUAAAGUCAACGUUGAAUUAGCUUUGAUGAGCAUUAGUAGUACACGAACACAAUAUAAUAAAACGCCAAACUGAGCUAAUUAGGCGCACAAUCCAAAUGAUGCCAGGGAAUCAAGGGAUUGGGUCACGUUGGUGGGAGGGGAUCAACCCAAUCCCUGCGUGGGGGAUUUCUCUCUUGUAUUACUUUCCCCAGCAGCCAAACGAAGCCGGAGAGGGGAAGGCACACGACGCCUGAAGAAGAGGGCGAGGGCAGCAGCGUCAUUUGCCAUGCCAAAAUAGAGCUUCCAGACUCCGUUCCACGCCGGAAGCACCACCUGUCAUGCCACAUCAGCGAGAAUGGUAAAAGUGUAGUAGCUCAACUGAAUGUGAUGGCAAAUAUGUAGGAACAUACACAAAGCUGGCAAACAGAGGAGUGCCAACCAUAAAAGUACAAAAAGUUAAAAAUCCAAAGCUCUCGGCCGCAGUGAGACAGAACAUCAAGGAGUCUGCUACGUCCUAUAUUCUCGCUUCAGCAGAAGUCAAUUUUUUUUACCAAAUAUAUAUAACUAAAUAUUAAUGUUUAUGACAUAUAACCUUCGUAUAAUUAGAUGAUUCUUUGAAUAUAUAUUUUAUAAUAAACAAAUGAUACUAUUUUUCUAUAAAUCUAGUUAAACUUAAAAAGUUUUUUUUUUUACAUAGAGUAUCGAGAAGAAGUGCUGAGACGAGCUCAAUGUACACUUGAGGGCUUGUUUGGAUGCCAUCCAAUUCACUUCAACCUUGUAACGAAUUUUGAAUUAAAUUACACCUCGAUCCACCCUAAUAUAUAUAGAUUGGUGCCAAUCCGACUAUAUCUAAACAAGUCUUGAAUAGAAAAUCAGCGCGACAUCGAGUAGUAUAGCAGCACAUGCAAGCAGAUAUCCACAAAUUUAUUAAUUUCUAUAUAGAACCAUACAUAUGUACAUGUAGCUUGGCUUUCCCCGCGCGCCGUAUAUAUAUAAGAAAAAAAGGCCCAUACACCCUGAACAGGAUCGCUGAAGAUUGAUGAGGGCUACUUACAACCUGACUUUUACAACAAGAGAUGGAGUGACUGUGUGGGCGUGGGGGCACUAAUUUUCAGGAACAGCAAGCUCUCAACACAUCCUCCAUGUCAGGGUCAUCUCCGGCUUCUUUGUCCUGGUAAAAGAGAUACCAGAAAAGAGAAGUUGCAUUCAGUAUCAUAGUAUGAUUUUCUUUCUUGAGGAGAACAUGAGGGGUUUUCCCCUAUUGAUUAUAUACAUAUAUUAUAUAAAUAGAACAAAUGGAACAAAUUUUUCGUAUGAGAAGCACUGACCUUGUGGAUGUACAAGAUGUUAUCGAUACCCGGACCUGCAACAAUCAGCCCCCCUUGAUACCUAAAGUAGAGAAAUGCAUUAGAUCAAUGCUAGAAAAGACAAUUGCAAAAGCUCUAGCAGCCAACUCAGAAUUACAAGAAAGCAAAAAGGCAAAACCAGAAUGCAAACAUACCAUCCGCCUUUUGUCCUAGUGUUCUUUUCGAAUGACAAUUCCCAGUCCUGCCUGUAUCCUUCCCUGUACAAUUGUAUUAUCUUGAGGCCAGCCUGAGAAAUGAUGGAAAGAACCGUUUAUGUAUGUUGGGGAACAUAGAACACGCAGCAUGCAAAAUUUAGUCCAGUAUAAGAGUUACCGCUGGCGUGAAGGUAGAGAACAACCCAAAUGCAAAUUCAAGAGCAUCAUAUGAUGAGUGAGUUGGGUCUGCAUAUACUUCUGUAAUUAAAAACCAGAAUUGUUAUACAGUGUAUAGAUGUUGAAGUUUUGCAGCAAAAAAUAUUAAUCAGAAUACACAUCACCAAAGAUUUACACACUUAAAUACCUACCAGGAAAUCAAGAGAAAUAGAGAAGAUUUAUUUUUAACAUUUAUGCAAAAAGAAAGAAAGAAAGGAUCCAGCUGUGCUUUUUUACUUAGCUUAUUUAUUAUUGGACAGCUAUAAUGAAACACCCAAAUCAAGGUUCUUAAGACAGCAAGGCGUCAUAUGGUGACCUGGGUAGGCCUCAUUGCCUAGGUGAUGCCUUAACAGCCUUGCCCUAACAAAAAUCAGUACCUGGUUUCUUUUCCAAACAAAAAGUAGGACACACUCUUUAUUUGUUGGAUGUAAAUUUCAGUCCCAGAUCCGCGAUUCCUACUGGUACUACUUCAGGAAUUGAGUACAUACUUGGAUACAGCCACACCAAGUCAUUGUAAAGGAAACAUCACCCACUUGUGUAUCAUGGAUUAUUAUAUAUCAAUGUUCAUGAGACAGGAAGGAACAUAUUUGUUAUCCAAACCUCAUGGAAUAACUUAAUAAUUUCAUAGAUACCACCUUGAUUAUUAUAUUAGGCACAUAAAAUUUAUUUGUAUAUUCUCUUAGCACAUAUUCAUGAUUAUUUAUACUCUCAUUAAAGAAGUGGUGGCCAUAAGGCCUGGAAUAGUUCCUUAAAAAAUAAGGCCUGGAGUAGAGGUUAUUCAAGAAACAGACCUCCUUUGAAUUUGGUUUGCUCACAAAAUGCCUUUGCCUGGAUCAAGAAAAAACAAGAUGCAAUUAAUCACUGACAUGUUAGUUUAUUUACAACAGAAACGGAGUUCUAAGAAAAUAUUUUAAUUACCAACCAAAAUUUUCAUUUAAAGCUGUAGAUCAUCUUCAUGAGUUGUACUUCAAGUAAUAUUCUCAAGGAAGGCAACAUUGAUUUUUACAGAAUUAGCAAACUAAAGUUAACUAGUUUCUGAUCAAAAUAAAGCGCCAUUCAUCACCGCAAUCUCAAUCGUGGUAAAUAAAGAAACAGACACCCUUCCAAGAGCCACUCUAAGCUUUCAAUCUCAUUGGAGAGCCAUCCCAUGAAUAAUCUCUUUAUAAAUCUCUCGUGUCUCCAACACACUUUCUAAAUUUCGUUCUCUGUACUCCAAUGGCCUAUAAUAAUUUUAUUUAUGUGAAAAAAUUCAUGGUAGAACUACCAUAUAUUGAAUUUAGAGAGCAAUAUAAACUCUCCACUAGUGGAGAGCGAGAAGGGUGGUUUUGGAGAGCGGAAAAAUGGAGAGUGGUUUAGAAAGUCUGUUGGAGCACGAUUUUUUGGUUUGUUUCUAUUUUUUUUUUGAUAAAGAGCCAUAUAGAGGGUCUCUUGAAGAUGCUCUAGAAACUGCAUACCAGCUUGCUUAUGAACCGAACAACACAUAUUGCAUGCACAAGAUGGCUAAUCACUUAUCACCCUUGCUGAGCACAUAGAUUUUGCAUUUCACAACUAGCACCAAAUUAAUAAAAUAAUAUAGAAACGAGGUUCUUUUACUGUAGAUGAAAACAUACCUGUUCAACACUGCCUGGUCCAAUUAAAACAAGAGCAACUCCAGCAGCUUGCAUGACAUCCUGCACAUUAGUGGCAAGCCAAGAAAUAAGUUCAGAAUUCAGAUUAUGGAGGGAUCAACAAAGAGAAGCCUGCCUGUUCUAAGGUGGCUUAAUCUUUCCUCUCGUAUAUAUAUGUCACACCCUGUAACCAUUGUGUUAAUUUGCUAAAGUUGUUUCUAGGAAAAACAACAUUACUAAACUAAGAAAAUGAGAAGAUUCACACAUAGCAAAACUGGAAAAGGAAUUCUUAAACCAACUUUGAUUUCAAGUCAUUAUCUGUAUCCUUCCUCCUCGCACCUAAGGCCUGUUUUUGAGAGAUCAAUUUAAUAUCAGGUGGGCAUUAAGGAACUCCCCCACCUUUGACAACAUUAGAAGAUAUAUCAUGCAAAAAAUCGCCCUCUGCCAAACUACCACUAGGCAAGGUACAACUAGAAGGUUUAGAAGGAAAACUUGUUAAAGCACCUUGAUGCAAUAAGCAAAGUGGAAAGUAUUUCAAAUUUUGUUACUGCACACUGGCAACUGGCAAAUUUUGAUACUACAGAAGAACAGCACGAGAAAUCAGCCAUGGAACCUGCUUUGCGGCUAGAAGGUCCGCCCUCUUUCGGCACAACACGCAUCUGCAAACAGGCAGAGGCAUGCAUGCCAACAUAUCAGCCACAACAGUCACUCAUAAAUCAACGAAUAACUCCCAGAUAACGGUGAACCGACCCGAAAUGGCGGGCAAACGCAACCACUGCCUUCCUUUCCUUCCACAGAUCAACGAUGGACACCGCCUUGCCGUUCAGGUCGAACACUUCGACUCCCUGCAGCUUCUGCACGAGCCCCUCCGCCGGCGCGGCCUCCGCGGUGCUCCCUGAAAAUCGCGUCGAACACAGCACGUGACAGAGAGUGAGCGUCGGCGCGCGAGGCUUCUUCAGAGAACCGAACUGACAAUAUCGAAGCGACAGAGGGGAUUGGGGUACCGACCAAUCGCUCCGAACUUGGCGUCAGGGAGGAGGCGGCGGACCGGGUGCGCUGUCCGCUGGUCGAAGAAGAGGCCGCUGACAGCCCCCCUCGCGCGGAGACACUGCGCGGGCUGGCGCGGGGCCACGGUUGCCGCAGCCGGGAGCGGGCCGGCGCUAGCGGCGGCGCGCGCCAUGACGAGCGGUGCGCGCGCGGCCAUGCGGCGGGCACUGGGCUACUCCUGCCUGGUCAGUGGCGGCGAGCCGGCGAGCUCUGGCAGUCCGGGUAGUUACGUGGGAUCUCGGUGGCCAGGAUGCGGUUAUGCGGCUGUCGCCACUUGGUGGGCUCGAGCCUUGGAAGAAGAGUGCGGCUGCGCCUGCGCCUAAGGUGUGGCCCACGCGUCAGCCAGAGUACGCGCGCACCCAGGCACGCCUCGAGGCCGCGGACGGCGCGGAGCCAGACGGACCUCGCAUUCGCUGAGAAGCCGAAGGCCGUAGAGCACACGAGUUGUAGGCUUCCAGAGCACGGCGGGGCAGCAUGAGGGGCUUCCGCUUUGCGCUGGUCCGUGCAGCGCGGUCGCGGUCGCGGGCGGAGCUCCAGACCGUGCAGCGCCGCCCGCCGUCGGAUCUCGCCCAACGUUUUUCGCACUCGGCGUCAGCGCCGGCGAGGCCAUCCUUCGGCAUCGCGUUCGACAUCGAUGGGGUCAUCCUGCGCGGCCGAAGCCCGAUCGGGGGCGCGCCGCGGGCCAUCCGCCGCCUCUAUUCCGAAGAAGGUAACGCCCUUGCGCUUCUCGUGCUCUGCUGCAUUCCAUUGAAGCAGCUUGUAGUUUCAUCAGGAGGACUCAGAGAGUGUCUCGCUCCUGUGUUUGUAACGGCGAAGUGGACUCAGAUGUCUGGCCAUGCCUGCCGGCUGCCGCAUUCGUGUCUUUUGAGCAUUUCGUCGAACGGGUCCAAGUCGUUAGGCAUUGUGUCUUGUGUAUUACACCAUUAUUAAAUGGUUAAAUCGUAUUUGGACCUAAAAUUGAAUAUUUUAGGCUGCAUCAUUUACUCGUUUCUGGAGCGCAAACCUAUGAGAGUAAUUUAUUUUGCCAAUGUUGCUAUUCGUAUUUGCAAAUUUAUGCCUAUAGGUUCUACUAGGGUUAAAGAUUAGGGCACUCCCAAUGCAAAACUAUCAUGGUUUCUAUAGACAUUAAUUAUAGUGCCACCUAAGCAUUUUGCUGAUGUGGCAAUGUAGUUAUUAAAGAGAGAGAACAAAAAUCAUAGAAAGUUAGAAACCAUGUCUACACGAAAUCCAAGGCAUAAAGUGAUAUUAUUGGCUGAGAAUGGAGAGAGAAUGAAUCUAAUUGGAUAAACAAAUAUUCCAUAGAAACUAUCGAUUGGGACUAUAGUUUCUAUGUAUAGUGUCUAUAAAAAUUAAUAGAUAUAGAAACUAUGUGUAGUUUCUAGCAUUGGGAGUGCCCUUAUGGAUCACAUUAUUUGUUCCUUUUCAGGUAGCCUGAAGAUUCCGUUUCUGUUUUUAACUAACGGUAAGUAAUCCACUAUACCAUUUGCACACCCUGUUUUCCUAUCAUUGUUGCAUACUAGCUCCCUGUUUUUGGGAUAUUUCUAAAAAGUUCCUACUAUACAUCAAGCAAUGCAUUCGAUGAAACCUGUUCUUCGAUAGACAUUGUUCUUAACUAUACUGCCAAAUUCUAUGGCAUUUACUAGUGGUGCAUUUGAUUAUUUGACUAAUAUUGAAUUAUCUUCAUUCAACGCAAUCUGUUCUUUGAAUUACUAUCUAAGAGGCAAUCUUGUUCUGGAAAGGUUGAUUGUCAACUUCUUAAUGCUGUAGAUAAUUGUUGUAUGAACAGUGAACAGUCCAUCCUAUUAUAAGUUUUUGUUAUAGCUUUUACAUGGCCAUCAGUAAUCACAGCUAAGGGUUGUACAAAGGCACCAUGGCAUGGAGUGUGGAAUUUUUAAUUGUGUUGCUGAUUUUUUUAUUGAGGUUAUUAAGGUUUACCAAUUUGUUGGUAGGAGGAGGUGUUCCAGAGCAUAGAAGGGCCCUUGAGCUAAGCCAACUUUUAGGAGUCAACAUUUCUCCAGCACAGGUACUUCUACAGUACUCAUGAGUCAUUGCUUAAUGGGACCUUCAAGCUAACUAAUAAAUCCCUAUAGAAAGGAGAGAAAAUUAGUGCAUCUCUUUUCUUUAUCUUCUCAACCAUUGGCUAUGUUAAAUUUCCAUCUAUGAUUUUUUCUGAUGCGUGUAGGUUGUGCAUGGCCAUUCUCCUUACAGAGAGCUGGUGAAGCGGUGUGCCUUUCAAGUACUACAUCAAUGCUUUCUUGUUUCUUGAUUGACUUGUAGCACCUGAAUGGAACCCCUAUUUGAACUCUGCAGUUUCAAAGAUGACCUUAUUGUUGCUGUUGGAAAAGGAGAGCCUGCAGUAGUGAUGUCUGAGUACGGAUUUAGGUAAUUCUUCAUGUUCCUAUCAUGGGUCAAAUUUAUUGUGUGAAUUUCUCACGAGUCAUCUGUGUCUACAGAAAAGUUCUGUCCAUAGAUGAAUAUGCAUCAUAUUAUAAAGAUAUUGACCCCCUGGCUCCUUUCAAGACUUGGAAAGUUGGGCAAACAGACAGUUACAUGUUUGCGAAAGUGCACCCAUCAUAUGAUGUUUACUCAGAGCGAGUUAAAGGAGUGUUUGUUGUCAGCGAUCCUGUUGACUGGGGAAGAGAUCUACAGGUACUAAUAGAAAACCUUCUUGUGCUGCAUUUGUUUCAUUUUCACAUAAUAUCUUAUUGAGUGAUCCAUAAACAUCUUUUCCUCUAAGAGCAUCUGUUCACAUGAAAUUGUGAUUACUUCCUUUUCAGAUUGGCUACAUAAGUUCAAUAAUCUGUUUUUUUUUUAUAUUCCAUAUGAAAGGUACUCUGUGACAUCUUGUCUACUGGUGGACUUCCUGGGACUGAAAAAGGGGAUCAACCUCCUUUGUAUUUUGCAGCUGAUGAUCUUGAAUACCAGGUAAGAUGAUAGGUCAAGAAUGGUGCUACACUGUGAACACCCUACAGGCCACAAUUUCCCUUAUUUCCAUCCAGGUUCAAUGCUAGUAAGAUAACCAUUGCACUGGAAGAAACUUAGUUUUGAGAUCCUAUGGCAGGCUGCAUUUCCUUCUGAGCGGCUUGGCAUGGGUGCCUUCAGGAUAGCUUUGGAAAGCAUCUUCAAUCAGUAAGCUAUUUUUAUAUUUAUGAGACAUUGUACUUCAAAUUUAUAAGCAUGGAUGUGCGGCCAGAUUAAUCAUUUUCUGCUCACUUAAAUUGCAGAAUAAAUGAUCAUCCACUGAAGUAUACAUCUUAUGGGAAACCUAAUCCAUUUGUGUUCAAGAAUGCAGCAAACAUACUUGGAAAACUUAUUAUAAGUAUGUAUCCUAAUUCACAGACAUCAAUGGAAGUAAAAGACUGUCAGUUUUCAACUAUCUACAUGGUUGGCGAUAAUCCUAAAGUGGAUAUCAAUGGAGCUAUGAAGGUUAUUCUUUGAUACAUUUUAUCAUUUAUAUAAAAGAAUAUUCACUGCAUGGAGUGGUUGAUGGUACAAGGAUGCUGUACAGGUUUCAAUAUCUGUUUCCUUGAUGAGAUCAACACUGCCUAUCACUACAAUAUAUAUGUUUGCAGAGUUGAACAGCUAGCUUGUAGUCCAGCAAAAAAACAGGCUACCUGAUGCAUUGGAAAACAGCAUUACCCUAUUGAAUAACAUACCAUCCACUUUCAACAUUUUUCUUUUUCUAUGUUGCUCUUCUAUUACAUUUAAUUGAGGCCAUUGCUUCCUAUCAAGAGAUAUUUAACCUGUGUAAUUUGAACUUCCCAGGCUGGCCACCCAUGGUCAUCUGUUCUUACAAGGACAGGUGUUUUUAGAGGAAAAGAUAACGACCCACAGUUUCCUGCAGAUGCGGUAUAUCUUAUGACCAAAAACUUCCGUUCCACCCUGUGACUGUUAAGUUAUCUGGUAACACAUGUUUGGCAAGAAAAUAUAUGUAUAUGUUACAGAUGUUUGAGUCUUAAAUUAAGAAUAACCAUGAGCUACUUGCCCAUCUUAUAAUGAACCUCAUUGUCUCAGUGCUAUUAGCCUUGUUAGCGUUCUCAGUAGUAGAGCAGCUCACACAGUUAGAGAGUUUGAUCUGCAUGGGGUCAAAUCUCGACUCUCGAGUAAUGAGUAAUGACCUGAAAAAAGUGCACGAUGUCGUGUUAUAACUUAUAUUGCGAGUCCUUUCACACCACAACGCCAGAAAAUAUAUGAAUUUAAUGUUAAAAAAAAGAAAAUAUAUGAACUAACCUGGUUCAGCUGGGUGAUUGGUGUGGGCUUACAAUUUGGGUAUCUUUCUUUUUCUUAUAAGAAAACAAUAACCUAGUUCAUUUUUUGUUAACAUAAUAUGUUAUAUUCAUGUUUCACUGGCAGCUAAUUUUUUUAAUUUGUUAUUUAUGUUCCUUGGAUUGUGAUUCUCGUGGAUGUUCUCAUAGCAGGUUUCCUGCUUAACUGAAAUUUGUUGACUCAACACUAUCGAUCUGUUGUGAUAAAAUAUCUAGGAUGAAAACAGAAACAUUGGUUAUCCUGGAUUUAUCAUCAUAAUUGGCUUGCUGUUCUGAUAAAAGUUGUGUUUGCCUUUCAGGUUGUUGAUACUGUUGAAGAUGCCAUCAACUAUAUUCUGGAGAAGGAAUGUGUACAGUGAUGAUACUGUUGAAGAUGCCAUUAACUAUAUGCUCCCUUGAUCAUUGUCAUUUGGCAUGCUUGAUAAGAUAAGAUGUACAGCCCUUUUUUUUUGUCUAGUAAAUUUAUAAUCCGUGGCUGGAAGUCGAUCUCUUAUUUCUUAUUUAUUCUACCAACAAAUACAUGUUAGAGACAGCAGACUAUAUUUUCUUGCACUUUUUUUUGGGUGCUGAAGAGGCUAAAUUUGUUACAAUCUUUAUGUAGUACAAAGGUCAAAAGGCUCCAUGCAGUGGAACCGAAACAGAAAUGCUGCUGGAUUCUUUUGAUGUUGUGUGUACUAUUAUAGGUAUAAUUUGGUACAAUAAUAUUCAAAGAAAUUCAUGAGCUAACCUUUUUUUCGCAUAAAAAGAUUUAGGCCUUUUUUAAGACCAGUGAUGAUAGCUUACGUACUGAGCCAAGGCUUAAGCCGAGCCACUGAGCAGUCGGCCCCACAUAAUCUAAAUUUUCCGUAGACCAAGUCCACGUGAGGGCCUCUCAUCUUCUCACAGAUAAGCCCUUUCACUCCACUCUUUCUCCUUCCUCCGUUCGUCCCUCCCAACCCAACCCGCCGUUCCU
RNAcentral lists this long non-coding RNA (65991 nucleotides) under Sorghum bicolor (sorghum). RNAcentral describes it as "long non-coding RNA (SBIC_LNC001650)". The record is from RNAcentral. Lineage: Eukaryota; Viridiplantae; Streptophyta; Magnoliopsida; Poales; Poaceae.